CAGCCAGAAGUCCAAUUUCCCUGGGUAACAAACUUAAAUCCAGGAAGACAAGUACAUUCAGCUUCCUUAUCCUUCAGAACACAAUAUCCAUUAAGACCACAUGAUCCUUUCGGGUCGCACUUGUUGCUUGUGGAUCAUGACCACAUAUCUGACCAGUUUCCAUUCCGUGUCAGAUUUCGUGAAUAUAAUCUGAAAAUCCCAUCAGCAUCAAGUUUCAUCAUAUUAAUUGUUUCUUUCGUGGGAUAUCCUCCAGCUGUAAUGUUUUUUAUGUUGAAACCUGUGGAAUUGAGCAGGUAGAGACGGCCAUCCGGAUCAAGAUUUAGGGUCACAUUAUCUCCCUUCCCAUCAGUAAAAGAUGAAAAAUAAGAAUAUGGAGCUGUAUCUGGAGUAUUAACAGGAUACUGCACAAGGUUGCCAUCAUUUUGCAUCUUGAGUCGGUAAAUACCAGUUGAGAGUUCAGUUUCUGAAACAGGAGAAACCAGCUCUGCCCCUGCUCUGAGCUGUUGAGUUGGCAAAAGGGUAUCUGUUGGGUGGUCAAAACUCUGCCAUAUAAUCUCGCGAUCAGAAUUAUAUAGCACAAAGUUGCCUGAAUCAGACAUAGAAGCUAAAGAAGCUGGCUGGGAAGCAGAAACUAUCGGAGUCUCAUCCCCUUGUGCUGAUCUCAAGACAACCCUGCCAUCACUGGUGAAGAGCAAGGUCGCAUUACUGGGGACUGGGGCAUCAUCCCUUCUAGCAGCCCACACAACAGUCUCUAGUGAAAUCCCGGAUAGAAAAACCCCUAUAGAAUAGCCGUCGCGUUGUCGGAAAAAUCCGAAAGCAUAAAGACCGGAAGGUGACAACCAUGAGGAGUUUGUGAUAGGUGUUAGAGAAGAUCCGAGGGUUAUAUUGGUCUGUCUUUGAGCUGAAGCUGUAAAAGAUAAGGCGAGAAGAAGAAAAAAGAUGAUAGAAGCCAUGGAUAGGGAUUUAGCUCUUGUGUGGUAUGUGAGUGUCAAAAUAAGGAUGUCUAUUGUUCCAGCACUCCAUUAUCUUUCUGUGGUUUCCAGCAGUCAAGCCAGGCACUCAAAACAUAAAAGUCUAGCCAUAGAAUCCACCGCGUUUCCCUACCAAUUGGUGGAAAUUGUUGCUCUUAGUUUUAUGCUUUCAAAGUCACCGAAAAAACUUGGCAGUUACUUGGUGCUGGUCCACUUUUUUCAUCUUGGUAUCCCCCAUUUGAAAAGUCAUUUGCUAAUUUCCCCGGGACUAUUCUUGGUUCUAAUUUUCUGCAGCAGAUUCUUUUUUAUUUGUCAAGUACCAUUCAAUACGCUUAGAAGACACAAUCUUUAGCUUCCUGCAGACAGCUUCAACUAGUUAAGAAAUAUCGAUUUGGUGCCAAUGCUAAUACCCUGGCAUUAUACUAGGGCAAGACAGAACAACUUGCUAGCUUAUAGUCAUGUCCCUCAAAAGCUAAAGCCUAGCUAGCAACCUCAGUUUCUAACGAGAGAGCAUCUCUACAUGUUGCGUAACUAACAAUCCCUUGAAUAUUAAAACUGAAAAGUGGAACUCAUUGGACCGUUGAUUUUAUGACCAGUUCCACCGUACGACUUAAUUCAGAGUACAAUUGAGGUGGUCACGGCAAGGACCGGGUCAAGGGACAACCUAGCAUUUGCUGACCUGCUCUUCUCAGCUAAAGCUUCUUUUUUUUUUUUUUGAAAGAUGCGCAUAUUAUUUAAACGUCAAAGUCUGACGGGAAUAGAACAGAAGCUAUACAAUAUCUUACUAUGACAAAAAGCCAUAUAUAGGAUAAAGCGCAGCAUAAGAUAAACAAAAGCAAAGAAAACCACAAAAAAUCCAUCCGAAUGAGCUGAAGCUAAACAUUCCUCUACAAAACAAAACAAAAAUUACUCAAAGACAUAAUGGGAGAAGAAACAAUAGCAAGGCCAUAGAAAAAUGGUGAAUUCAAAGCCAGGCAACAAAUUCACUUGAUCUUCGCACUCCUUGUUUAGCCAAGUCAUCUGCCAUGCAAUUGCUUUCACGAAAGAUAUGUGAGAAGGUGAUUGAACCAAAAUAUGCUUUUAAUCUAUUAAAAAAGGAGAACAAAUUAUGAUGCUUCCAGGGACGACUGAGAGGAUUAUUCAUCCACAGAAUAACAUUGACCGAGUCAGAUUCGAUGAUGAGGUGUUGAUGGUGUAAGAGGCAAUUAGAUGCUGAUAGUUCAAUGGCUUUGACAAUAGCCCUUAACUUAGCAAUAUUAGAGUCUAAAAUACCAACUGGAACAGAGAACAUACCGAGCAGAUGACCAUGAUGAUUUCGCAACACACCACCUAUUCUAGAGGGGCCUGGCUUACCAAGAGAAGAGCCGUCCACAUUCCAUUUGAGGCUAUUAAUCAUAGGAGGAGACCAUAUAUUAUUAAUCCUGAAAGAGUGAGCAUUGGACCACCGAAGCAAGCCAUCUGCCGAUCUGAUUAGAUCUGUAGGGGAGUAUGGAAAAUCUGAAUGGAUAGCUUUUAGCCAUAGACAUAAACGGGUGAUAAUAAGAAAGAAUAUUGAGUCAUAGUCUGGUGUCUUCUGUUGGAAAAUCAGAUCAUUUCGAAGGAGCCAAAGAGACCAUGCCAUUGAGAAGAACAACAUCAACCAUGCCUUCCUCUGAAAAUUACCAUGCACCAUGGAAGACCAUUGAGACCACAUAUCUGAGAAGCUCUUUGGGCAACACCAAACUAAACCCCACCAUUUAAUGAUUUUGGACCAAAUGAGCCAAUGUUUAUGGCAGUGCAACAGAAUAUGGUCCACCGAUUCUGCUUCAACAAGGCAGAUAGGGCAAAGGGCAAUUUGAUUCCGAGCUACCCAAGAUACCUCUUCGAACCAACAUACAUCGGGUGUUGAGUCUGUUAAUGAUAGUCAUCUAGCAAAAGAUCUCUACCUUAAGAGGGACAAUACCUUUCCAAAUUCCAGCAAAUGAGAAGGCAUUGUUUGUGGAAGGCUUUGGACUCAACAAUACGCAGAGAGAUUUCAUUGAAAAUCUUCCUGAAUUAUUGUCCUUCCAAAUUAGUCUAUCCUCUCCAUCUUUGUCCAUGAGUACUAACGAAAGGAUUGCAUAGAGUUGAUCAAGCAAACCGAUGUUGCGCCCCCGUAGUGGACGUAUCCAUGAAAAAAACCAAAUCCAUUCAUACCCUUCCCACAUUCCCAUCUUAGCAAUGGUGCAGCUUUGUCAUUGGAUAAUUGUAAAAGAGUAGGGAAGUGAUCUUCUAAACAAUGGUUAUUAAGCCAGCAAUCAAGCCGAAACAUAGUUUUCUUGCCAUUUCCAAUAAGAACCAAAGAUUGCUCAUUCACAAUAUCCUGCAACUUAUUAUUUCUCACAUAAUGAUUGACAAUCCAGGACCAUGUAGUUGCAGUUCCUGGAAUAGGAGCUUGCAGCAGGAGAUUAGAGCAAUUGGUGUUGUGGAUGGUUUUGAUCACAUCCUUCCACAUACUUGAUUCCUCCAACCCAAACCUCCAUAACCAUUUAAAGAGCAGAACUUUAUUUUUGUCCCUUAAAGAACCAAUCCCAAGACCACCCGCAUGUUUUGGAAGAGUAACAGUUGCCCAGCUAACAUUGCAUAUUUUGUGCCUAGCUUCUUCUCUCACCAUCUUCAUGCCAUGGUUGCUGAUUGGAGGGGCUUUAUAAUUUAUUUAUUACAAUUGUGCUAUGAAAAAGAAAAAAAAAUGCUAUGAUAUUAAAAAAAAAAAGAAUUUCCUCGUAGCUAUGAUAUUUGUGAUAUUAAUUAUGUUACACUUGUGAUCAUGUUGAUGAGAAUAAUAAUAAAUUCAUAUAGUUUUAGUAAUGUUUAUGUUAGCAAGCAAUGCUACUGAAGGUGAAGAAGCUGUGACGAAGAUGAUGGUGAUGUAAUGGUAAUGACGAUUAAAGUGAUUGAAAAAUAUUUUUCUUUUGAUAAUUUAUUAGUAUAUAUAUAUUUCAAAUGUUUAAGAUAUUUUUCAAAUAAAUGUACCUUAACUAUGAUAAAUGAUAUAUUCUCCGUUUGUUUGCAAUUUGAUUGUAAAGGCUUCCUUUUAACAUAAUUCUGCUUGAUAUGCUCCAUGUAAUUACAAACUAAUUAGCUCAUUCUGGUCUUCUCACUUCUGGCAAUUAGUCAGUUUGAUGGCGGCUUGCAACAAUGUACUGUCACCAACCGUUGUAUUGGACUUCGAUUCACCGAUAAUGCCCUGCAACUGAGCUUGAGCGAAGGAAUGGACAUUUGCAUUUAGGCAAGGAAUUGCCUUGUAGAAUAGAAGAAGAAGAAGAAGAAGGGGGAAAAACAAGCAGAGAUCAUAAUCUCAUUAAUUCUAUUCUUCGUAAAGAGCUCACUCUUGAGAUAACAUAAGACCACCAAACGUUGUUUAUACUAAGAACACGUGAAGCUUUCAUGCUAACGUUUUCUUUUCUCCUCUUUAUAUACCUUUUUUCUUUUUCUUUUUUUUAAUAUCUAAGAUACGGUGGGAAACAACUUUAUUAACAUUAGAAGAAAAAUCACCAGGAAGCUCCUAAAUGCUGCGUAAACAUAUAGCAAUUUUAUAAAGAAAAGGAAUACAUGACCUGAAAAAUAAAGUACAACACUCUGCACAUGAAUCUCUUAUUCCGAACCACAAAACGCAGCUCAUAUAGCGGUAAAAAAAAGUAGGACUUGGAGGGAUUGGGAUUUCGACUGUCCCCUCCAAAAUCAUCAGGAAGCUCCUAAAUGCUGCGUAAACAUAUAGCAAUUUUAUAAAGAAAAGGAAUACAUGACAUGAAAAUAAAAUACAAUACUUUGCAGGUGAAUCCCUUAUUAUGAACCACAAAACGCGGCUCAUACAGCGGUAAAAAAAGAAGUAGGACUUGGAGGGAUUGGGAUUUCGACGGUCCCAUCCAACAUGAGGAGGACCUUUUUCAUUGAAGGGCGGAGGGAUGGCUCAUCAAGAGUGCACCAAAGUCCCACUUUAACCAUCCUAUCUAACUGUUUCUUUCCAACGACUUCUUCACCCACAAGUUUGUCCAUAUCACCGUCCUGAAAACAUUGAUAAACCCACUGUUCGAGAACAGCUUCAUCCUCUGGAAGACUCCAAUCCACAUUCUUUCGACAACACGUGAUCUCCAACAACAUAACUCCAAAGCUAUAAACAUCUGCUUUAACUGUCACCGGCAUAUUCCGGUGCCAUUCUGGUGCUACAUAUCCCCUCGUCCCUCUCAUUCCGGUGAAGGUUUUUGUUUGGUCUGACUUCAGAAUUUUUGCCAAUCCAAAGUCAGAAACUUUGGGGCACCUGCUUUCAUCUAUUAGUAUAUUCUGAGGUUUUAUAUCACAGUGGAUGAUCUGAGUGUCGCACUCCUCAUGUAGAUAAACAAUACCCCUUGCAAUGUUGCGAGCAAUUUCCAACCUUUCAGGGAAGCAAGGUCGUUUUUCAAGUGAGAAGAGUAUGUCAGCAAGGGAGCCAUUGCUCAUGUACUCGUAUACCAGGAGCCUGUGAUGUUCAUCAUGGCAAUAGCCGAGCAGACGGGCUAGGUUUCUUUGAUUUUUUUUGGAGAGAUAAAGGAGGACAAGAGAAAGUAUUGAAUGUGAGUGUUAUCAGUCAUUUCUUAUAUAUUAUAUAUAUGAGGGUGUAUAAAGGAAAUCCCCUCAGAUUCAGCCAAUAUUCAAAUUUCCCAGAUUCAGCCAAUAUUCACUUGCCUCUUGCCCAUGAUCCUGCAACCAUCAUUCAAGCAUAAUAUCAAGCUUGUAACGGCAGACAAAUCUUCAACGUAAAUGCAGUAUAAAUGUCAAGACGUAAUCUUAGCUUACUUUCUAAAUUCAAACCUGCAAAGCUGUGUAUAUAUAUGUUAACAAUUGUAUUACUCAAGGUGUGGCGAAAUAUACAAUUCUGAAGUUUAUCAAAUAGCUCAACUCUCUGAAAUUUCUUAUCUUCAUCAUGGUAUCAGAGCAACAAAUCUCCAACGAGAAUUUGAUCCCUCACAAUCCUAUCUCAACCCCAUCCUCUCCAACUGAAACACCUCUGAUUGCCCUCAACAUCACAUCCCAGAUAAAUGAUAAACUUACCCCCUCUACAUUCCUUCAAUGGCGCGCUCAGUUUGAAGCCUUACUCAUCGGGUAUGAUCUCCUUGAUUAUGUCACUGGAGAAAAAAUCUGCCCUGUAUCCACCAGCACAGCAGUCUGCGCCAUCCAACGAACACACUGGAUAAGGCAAGAUAAGCUUAUCCUCAGUGCCAUUUUGGCAUCCACAUCCACUGUUAUUACUCCUCUCAUCUCCAUGGCCAAGACAUCAAAGGAUGCAUGGCAUAAAUUGCAUACUCUGUAUGCAAGCAAGUCCAGAACCAGAGCAAUGCAACUUAAGGAAGAACUCACAAUGAUAAAGAAGGGCAACCAGUCAAUUCAAACUUAUCUUCAUUCUGUAAAAUCGUUGGCAGACGAAAUCUCCCUCAUAGAUCACCCAAUCUCUGAAGAUGAUCUAACACUCUAUAUUCUAAAUGGCCUGGGAACUGACUUUCGUGAAAUUGCAGGCCCUAUUCGCGCCCGAGAACGACCACUCACUUUUGAGGAACUUCAUGAUCUCCUUGUAAGUCAUGAUGCAUAUCUUCGCCGUCUUGAUGCCUCCUCCCAUCUGAUUGCUUCUGCAAACUACACGCACCGACGGGCUUCGUAUAAUCAAGAAAAUCAGUCUUUUAAAUCUGCCCCAAACCCCACUUUUUUGACAGAUCAUAUGGGCUUCACUAUCGCCAGCCUGGCAAUCCGAGAGACACAACAAAAAUCAUGGACCACGUCGUUUUCCUCCAGCUCCAAAGUGCCAACUAUGUGACCGCAUGGGUCAUACUGCCAAACACUGCAGUCGGUUUCAGUAUACCACCCCAACAGCGAAUUGCACUUCCACCUCACCCGCACAGGAUACAAAAUGGCUUAUAGACUCAGCCGCGUCUCAUAAUAUUACUGGUGAUCUUGCUAAUCUAUCUAUUCAUUCCGAAUACGAUGGCACAGACGAAGUUAUCAUUGGUGAUGGUUCAGGUUUGCCUGUUUCUCACAUUGGCUCCUUACAUCUUCAUUCCCCCACACGUACCUUCCAUUUAAAUGACACCCUUUGUGUUCCUAAUCUACAAAAAAAAUCUCAUAUCUGCUCAUCAAUUUACUCGUCAAAAUCAUGUCUUUAUUGAGCUUCACCCCUCUUUCUUUUUUGUUAAGGACAAGAUCACGGGAGCGGCUCUAUUCCGAGGAGCGUGUGAGAAUGGUGUUUACAUCCUUCCGAAGUCAAUGGUGCAGCCUUCUCAUCCUAUUGUUGCUAAUGUGCAUGAAAGGGUCUCCAUGGACGGAUGGCACAAACGCCUUGGGCAUCCCUCUCCUAAAUUGGUCACUCACCUUAUCAAAUCAUUUUCCCUUCCAACAAUAAAUAAAAAAAAUAUUUCUCUUUGUUCCUCAUGUUCUAUUAAUAAAGCUCAUCGUCAACCAUUUCGUCAAAACAGUCUCUUGAGUCAUGCCCCUCUUGACUUACUUUAUACUGAUGUGUGGGGUCCCUCAAGUACAAUUGGCAUUACUGGGGCUCGUUACUAUCUCAUUUUUGUUGAUCAUUUCACAAAAUACAUUUGGUUUUAUCCUAUGGAGACUAAAUCCAGUGUCCGCAUCAUAUUUCCUCAAUUCAAAAAUCUUGUUGAAAAUCGGUUUCAGUUAAAAAUUAAAUCUGUCUAUUCUGAUAAUGGUGGUGAAUUUGUUGCCUUAAAACAAUAUUUUACAACAAAUGGAAUCAGUCAUUACACCACAGCUCCUCAUACACCGCAACAAAAUGGUGUUUCUGAGCGUCGUCAUCGUCACUUGGUUGAAACCGGUCUCACAUUACUACAUGAUGCAUCCCUUCCCCUUCAGUAUUGGCCCUAUGCUUUUUCCACUGCUGCAUAUCUUAUUAACCGUCAACCCACACCUCUCCUCCACCAUAAAUCUCCGUUUGAAACUUUGUUUACACAGCCUCCAAAUUAUAAAAAGCUAAAAAAAUUCGGUUGUCUUUGUUUUCCUCUUGUUCGGCCAUAUAACACAAACAAGUUACAACCAAAAUCAAUUCCAUGUAUUUUCGUAGGCUACUCCUUAACCCAAAAUGCAUACAGCUGCCUUGAUCCCAUAACCAACCGUCUCUACCAAUCACGCCAUGUCAUCUUUCAUGAAAAUGAAAAUGGUUUCUCCUCCAACCAUCCUUCCACACCCAGCCCGACAAGCGACUCCUCUGUUCAUGGUCCUCUUUCAUCUCCUCCUGCACCUCCACCAGUGACUUCGGCAAGGAUACCCACUCUCACUGCUUCCUCAGGUAAUGACUCCCCCACUGUAUCUUUUAAUUCACGUGCACUCAUACCUUUAUCUUCUUCUGCUUCUCCUAGUUUUCAGCUUGCCUCAUCUCCACUGCCAAAUCCCAGUCAUCCACCCUCAUCAGUUAUUUGUGCACCUUCUCCAAGCUCACCUCCCUCAUCACCCAAUCCUGCACCCACCCGGCCUCACUCCAUGGUCACCCGUUCCAUGAAUAACAUUUAUAAACCCAAACAACUUAACAUCACCACAAAACACCCCAUCCCAAAAACUGUAGAACCAACCUGUGUGGGACAGGCUCUUCGUGAGCCACACUGGAGAUCAGCAAUGUCUGAGGAACUCACAGCCCUCAUGAGGCAUGGCACAUGGGAGUUGGUACCGCCUCCUCCGGACUGCCAACCAGUUGGGUGCAAAUGGGUUUUUCGGAUCAAACGACAUCCUAAUGGCUCCAUUGCUCGGUUCAAAGCCCGUUUGGUUGCAAAGGGAUAUCAUCAGCGGCCUGGUCUAGACUACAAUGAAACGUUCAGUCCAGUUGUGAAACCUGCCACCAUCAGAACAGUUCUCACCGUGGCUGUCACACAGGGGUGGCCAUUACGGCAGCUAGAUGUAAACAAUGCCUUUUUGCAUGGGAACCUGCAGGAAACAGUCUACAUGUUACAGCCACCGGGGUUCCAUGAUACCUCCACUCCCCAUCAUGUCUGUCGGUUAAACAAGGCUAUUUAUGGCCUCAAACAGGCCCCUCGUGCCUGGUAUUCUGCUCUGCAACAAGCCAUUCUGAAACUGGGAUUCACCAGCUCCAAAGCCGAUCCUUCUCUAUUUAUCUUUCACAGUGCAGAUGUUUUGUGUUACUUGCUGGUCUACGUGGAUGAUCUCGUUCUCACUGGAAACACUCCAUCCUUCCUGACUCAUGUGAUUGAUCAACUUAGCAUCCAAUUCUCAUUGAAAGAUAUGGGUGCACUUCAUCAUUUUCUGGGGCUAGAUGUUAUACCCACCAAAAACGGGUUGUUCUUAUCUCAACAUCAAUACAUACGGAUCUUCUCUUCAAAACUAAUAUGCAGGGUGCUAAGGAUGUCUCUUCUCCUAUGUCCACUUCGGUCCAGCUCAAGCUUAUUGAUGGCACAGCUCCCUGUGACAGCACUGCAUUUCGAAGCAUCAUCGGUGGAUUACAAUAUUUGUCUCUUACUCGUCCUGAUGUUUCCUUCACUGUUAAUAAGCUGUCACAAUUCAUGCAUCAACCUACGGUCACUCACUGGUCAGCUGCCAAACGCCUGCUCCGCUAUUUGAAGAAAACCAUCUUCCUUGGCAUUCACAUAAAUCGUCAGUCUUCAUUUGAUAUCACCACUUUUGCUGAUGCUGAUUGGGCUGGGAAUUAUGAUGAUCGCACCUCCACCUCAGCUUACAUUACAUUCCUUGGGCUCAAUCCCAUCUCGUGGAGCUCAAAGAAACAACGUGCAGUCGCCAGGUCCUCCACAGAAGCUGAGUAUCGUUCCCUUGCCACUGCUACGUCUGAAACAGUUUGGCUGUUGUCCCUGUUCAAAGAACUGUGUCUCCCAAUUUCAUCUCCGCCAAGGCUGUUGUGUGACAACCUGGGAGCUACACACCUUAGCUUCAAUCCAGUUCAGCAUUCCCGGAUGAAACACAUUCAGAUAGACCUCCACUUUGUCCGUGAUAUGGUUCACAAGAAGAUCCUCAAUGUUCAGCAUGUCAAUACUCAUGACCAAUUGGCAGACUUUCUAACGAAGCCUCUGUCUUCCCAGCGUCUGCAUUCCUUACUGCUCAAGAUUGGCUUAGCUGAUGGCUCAUCCAUCUUGCGGGAGCGUAUAAAGGAAAUCCCCUCAGAUUCAGCCAAUAUUCAAAUUUCCCAGAUUCAGCCAAUAUUCACUUGCCUCUUGCCCAUGAUCCUGCAACCAUCAUUCAAGCAUAAUAUCAAGCUUGUAACGGCAGACAAAUCUUCAACGUAAAUGCAGUAUAAAUGUCAAGACGUAAUCUUAGCUUACUUUCUAAAUUCAAACCUGCAAAGCUGUGUAUAUAUAUGUUAACAAUUGUAUUACUCAAGGUGUGGCGAAAUAUACAAUUCUGAAGUUUAUCAAAUAGCUCAACUCUCUGAAAUUUCUUAUCUUCAUCAGGGUGAUCAUUUUAAAGAUUUUUUAGUAUAAUUUCUCAAAGUAUAAUGGGGAAAUGAAAACACGAUCAAAGCACAAGAAUAUUUUUUUUUUUUGUAAUUAUCCAUGAACUCAUGAAUAGUUGUAAAGUUUUUGAAGUGAGAUAAUGUUUGGUGAUUUAACUAGUUAGUUGGCCUGCAUUUUAUCGCGUGAUGAAGAAAUUUCUUGCUUUGCAAUGAAAAAUAAAAAGAAUUAUCUUGCAAUAUCGAUAAUAAACACAACAAAUUAAAACAAAAUAAAACUAAGUUUGUUUACAUGUUGGUCGUUAAUUUAAGAUUAAAAUUUAUGGUUAAUUAAAAUUUUUUUUUACUAUAUUUCAUAUGUCACAAAUAUUUGUGUUAUAAAUAUUGUUAUUUUUAUUAUAAUUAAAAAUACUAAUAUAAAAAUAUUGUUGUUUGUGCUAUAAAUAUGAUUAUUUUUAUUAUAAUUAAUUUGAUUAAUAAAAUAAUUAAUAAAUUUGAAAAACAAAUUAUUAUCAAUAUUGAAAAACAACCAUAGAUUUGAUUUGAAAUGUAAAAUUGAAAAUUGUUAUUGUUAUCAUUAAUAAAUUUGAAAAAAAAAUACUAUUAUUACUAUUGAAGAAAAUCCAUAAUUUUUCAAAAAAAUUAAAAAAUAUAAGAAUUUAGACGGACAAGUUAAAUAUUAUUAUUUAUAUUAUAAAUAUUAUCGUUGGGUUUGACAUUACAGUUAGACUCGACUCCUUCAAUUCUUGUGUUGCAACCAGACCAAAGCUUUUGAGUCAUAUAUUUUUUUUAUAUUUUUUAUGAAAAUAAAACGUUGGCCGCAACCUAACUAAUAAUUACUAAAUGAGGACUCCAAAUAAAUUAAUUCAUUUGAUUGCUAUGUGAGAUUUUUUAUAAAAUACUUCAAGGAAAACAAACAUAUUAAAAUCAUAAAAACAUUUUACUAUAAAAUAUUAUACAGAAUAAACGUAACUUACUCUAAAUUUCCUCAAACAAUCUUGCAUUGCAAGAUUAAAUGGGCAGUAACAACGCCAGGAAUGCUUUCUUGUGGAUUUAAACACAUUUUUCUAUUCCUCUUAAUUAUGGGAGGGGGGAGCUAUCUUCUGCUGUGUAGGAAGAUCUGAUGAAACAAAGGAACAAUUGUUUUCAUUUUACCAAAAACAUAUUUAGUGGAGUCGUACUAUUGAUUAAAAAUCAUCUACCAGAAGUGGAGUAUCCUCAAUACAAGUUGUUGCAACUCUGAAGAACAUAUUGCUAGUAUUUGUUGAGACUUGAGAAUAGCAUUACCCAUCUAGAAACCUGGCCAAAAUAUAGGUUUCAGUUUUCCAGCCAUAAUCCCGACAAAUGAGAUAAGGUGGGAAACAACUUUACAGGCAUUAACAUUAGAAUAAAAAUCAUCAGGAAGCUCCUAAAUGCUGCGUAAACAUAUAGCAAUUUUAUAAAGAAAAGGAAUACAUGACAUGAAAAUAAAAUACAAAUACUUUGCAGGUGAAUUCCUUAUUAUGAACCACAAAACGCAGCUCAUACAGCGGUAAAAAAAGAAGUAGGACUUGGAGGGAUUGGGAUUUCGACGGUCCCAUCCAACAUGAGGAGGACCAUUUUCAUUGAAGGGCGGAGGGAUGGCUCAUCAAGAGUGCACCAAAGUCCCACUUUAACCAUCCUAUCUAACUGUUUCUUUUCGACGACUUCUUCACCCACAAGUUUGUCCAUAUCACCGUCCUGAAAACAUUGAUAAACCCACUGUUCGAGAACAGCUUCAUCCUCUGGAAGACUCCAAUCCACAUUCUUUCGACAACACGUGAUCUCCAACAACAUAACUCCAAAGCUAUAAACAUCUGCUUUAACUGUCACCGGCAUAUUCCGGUGCCAUUCUGGUGCUACAUAUCCCCUUGUCCCUCUGAUUCCCGUGAAGGUUUUAGUUUGGUCUGACUUCAGAAACUUUGCCAAUCCAAAGUCAGAAACUUUGGGGCACCUGCUUUCAUCUAUUAGUAUAUUCUGAGGUUUUAUAUCACAGUGGAUGAUCUGAGUGUCGCACUCUUCAUGUAGAUAAACAAUACCCCUUGCAAUGUUGCGAGCAAUUUCCAACCUUUCAGGGAAGCAAGGUCGUUUUUCAAGUGAGAAGAGUAUGUCAGCAAGGGAGCCAUUGCUCAUGUACUCGUAUACCAGGAGCCUGUGAUGUUCAUCAUGGCAAUAGCCGAGCAGACGGACUAGGUUUCUGUGAUGUGUUUUCCCAAUGACUUUCAUCUCAUUCUGAAAUUCUCUUUCCCCUUCAGCUAGAGCUUUCUCCAGUCUCUUGACAGCAACAACCUUCCGAGUACUUGAUAUUAUCCCUUUAUAAACUGUCCCAAAUGAUCCCCUGCCAAUUUCUUCCUUGAAACCACCAGUAACAUCUUCUAGCUCUGCAUAAGUGAAAGCUCGAGGAGCAAAUUCCUCAUUCAAUGCACUACCAUCAUUUUUGGGAACCUUUUUAUAUGCCAAUACAUGAUAUCUGUAAAUGAUGAUUCCGAAAAUCGCCACCAUAGCAAGCCCAAAAGCAACAACUGAACAACUUAUUAUUACGAUUCUCCUGCCAGUGCCAAGGUUCUUCUUCUCUUUUCUGUCCAUGGAGGAUAUGGGUCUACCCACCUUGACGACAGCCAAGUUGGAACUUUCUAAGUUUCUCCUCCCAAAUCUCAAAGGAAGCCUUUGCUUUCUGCAGUACUGCCCAUCAGUGAAUAAUGCUGCUUCACAGUUACAGUCUUCCAAACAGGCUUGCUUACAAUUGUCUUUCAUUGUUAAAGACAAAACGGAGUAUGAAACAUCUUCCCAGAAUAUUAGACAGCUCUUCCAUGGUGUAUGUGCUACUUCCAUUCUUGUUUGCAACUUUCAGCAUGAAAUCCCUCUCACAGCCAGAAGUCCAAUUUCCCUGGGUAACAAACUUAAAUCCAGGAAGACAAAUACAUUCAGCUUCCUGAUCCUUCAACACAAUAUCCAUUAAGACCGCAUGAUCCUUUCGGGUGGCACUUUGCUUGUGGAUGACCACACAGCUGACCAGUUUCCAUUCCGUGUCAGAUUUUGUGAAUAUAAUCUGAAAAUCCCAUCAGCAUCAAGUUUCAUAUUAAUUGUUUCUUUCGUGGGAUAUCCUCCAGCUGUAAUGUUUUUAUGUUGAAACCUGUGGAAUUGAGCAGGUAGAGACGGCCAUCCGGAUCAAGAUUUAGGGUCACAUUAUCUCCCGCCCCAUUAGUAUCAGAUGCAAAAUAAGCAUAUGGAGCUGUAUCUGGAGUACUAACAGGAUACUGCACAAGGUGUCCAUCAUGUUGCAUCUUGAGUCGGUAAAUACCAGUUGAGAGGUCAGUUUCUGAAACAGGAGAAACCAGCUCUGCCCCUGCUCUGAGCUGUUGAGUUGGCAAAAGGGUAUCUGUUGGGUGGUCAAAACUCUGCCAUAUAAUCUCGUGAUCAGAAUUAUAUAGCACAAAGUUGCCUGAAUCAGACAUAGAAGCUAAAGAAGCUGGCUGGGAAGCAGAAACUAUCGGAGUCUCAUCCCCUUGUGCUGAUCUCAAGACAACCCUGCCAUCACUGGUGAAGAGCAAGGUCGCAUUACUGGGGACUGGGGCGUCAUCCCUUCUAGCAAAGAAAGAGAAGAUGCUUUACAAGAGGCACAGAAGCAAGUCCUUAAAGUCAACAGAAAGAAGGACAACAAAGCAAAGACCAUCAUCUAUCAAGGUCUUGAUGAAGAUACAUUCGAGAUAAUAGCUUCCGCUGAAACGUCACAUGAUAUAUGGGAGGCUCUCCAACAAAAAUACAAAGGUGCUGACAGAAUCAAGAAGAUUCGUCUUCAAUCUUUGAAAGGAGAAUUUGAAUUAUUACGAAUGAAGUCCUCAGAAUCUAUUUCUGAUUAUCAUACAAGGAUUAUGGUGAUAGUCAAUCAGAUGAGGAGAAAUGGAGAAGCCAUCAUAGAUACUCGAAUUAUUGAGAAAAUUUUGAGAUCCAUAGAUCCAAAAUUUGAUCAUGUUGUUGUCGCAAUUGAAGAGUCCAAGGAAGUGGACAAGUUGACAGUGGAUGAGCUUAUGAGUUCUUUGCAAGCUCAUGAGCAGAAGAUUGUAAUGCGAAAUGAAGAUAAGGCCAUUGAGCAUGCCUUACAAGCAAAGCUGUCUUUCAAGGACAGAUAUGAGCAAGGGGAGACUUCAACAAGUGGCUACACCACUCAAGGAGGAAGUCAACAAUCCAGAGGAGGAUUCCAGAGAUUCCAAGGAAGAGGUUCUUGGAAUACAAGCUUCAGAGGAAGAGGUGGUAGAAACACCACCAGAGGAGGCCAAGGCCAACAAGCAUUCACUCCCAGAGGAAGAGGAGGCGGUUACAAUAACCGUGACAAGAGGAAUAUCCAAUGUUAUAGUUGCAAUCAAUUUGGGCACUAUAGCACUGAAUGCCGAUGGAAAGCUCCGUUGGAGAUACGUGAGCAAGCCAACUAUGUAGAGAAGCAUGAUGGAGAAGCAUCUGCAUUUCUUGUCCAACAAGGACAUGGCGAGAAAAAGAGGAGAUAUGGUAUCUAGAUACUGGAGCCAGCAAUCACAUGUGCGGCUACCGAGAGUUAUUUGGUGAUCUAGAUGAGACCAAGCAAGGUCUAGUUACUUUUGGAGAUACCACAAAGGUUCCAUUCAAAGGUAAAGGCAACAUCCCAGUCAAGUUGAAGAAUGGCGAUUCCAGCUACAUCGCCGAUGUGUAUUAUGUCCCAGCCAUAAAGCAGAACCUGAUCAGCUUAGGUCAACUUUUGGAGAGAGGAUAUAUUUUUACUCGAAGAAUUGUCAUCUGCAAUUAGAGACAACAAUGGGAGAUUAAUGGCCUACGUGAAAAUGUCCAAGAAUAGGAUGUUUCCUUUGAACAUCCAGUAUGAUGCAACAAGGUGUUUGAGUGCCAUCACCAACAGUGAAGAAUGGCUUUGGCACCUGAGGCUUGGACAUCUGAAUUUCACAAGUUGAAGAUGCUAGCAAGCAAGAAGAUGGUCAAAGGUUUGCCUCACAUUGAUCAUCCAGAUGAAGUCUGUGAGAGUUGUGUCCUCAGCAAACAUCACAGAUCCAGUUUUGCCAAAGAAGUCAACUGGAGAGCAAAGAGGCCACUGGAGUUAGUACACACAGAUGUGUGUGGCCCAAUUACGCCUAUGUCGACUGGACAAAAUAGGUACUUCCUCACUUUUACUGAUGAUUUUAGUAGAAAGACGUGGAUAUACUUUCUGAAGAGGAAGUCAGAAGUAUUCAAUUGUUUUAAAGAUUUUAAAGCAAUUGUGGAGAAGCAAACUGGUUACACGAUCAGAACCGUAAGAUCUGAUCAAGGUGGAGAAUAUACAGCAAAUGACUUUGAAGCCUAUUGUACACAACAAGGCAUCAGACAUCAGACGACGCCAGCUUAUACACCACAGCUGAACGGUGUAGCAGAAAGGAAGAAUCGCACGAUUCUUGACAUGGCAGAAGUUGCUCAAAGCAAAGAAGCUGCCCAAGCAAUACUGGGCUGAAGCUGUAUCAUGUGCAGUGUAUCUGUUGAAUCGCUGCCCAACCAGAAGUUUGCAAGGAGUCACUCCAGAAGAAGCAUGGAGUGGUCACAAACCAAGUGUUACUCAUCUACGAGUCUUUGGUUGUGUGGCAUAUGCAAAGAUCCCAGAUGCAAGAAGGAGAAAGCUCGAUGAUAAGAGCGAGAAAUGCAUCUUUGUCGGAUAUGGUGAAAGAAGGAUGGGAUACAGACUGUAUAAUCCCAUCACGAAGAAGGUGAUUACGAGUAGAGAUGUUAUCUUUGAAGAAGAUAAAUCUUGGGCAUGGAAUGUGAUCAAGAAGCAGUCAAAUGGAUCAAUCUUGAUUUGAUCCUUGAAGGUGAAGAAGUACCAACAGUACUUGUAGAAGAACCGAUUGUGCCAGCAGCUGAACCACAAAGUCCAGUGUUUAUACCAGUAGCUGAACCACAAAGUCCGGUACACAGAUUCCCUGUAUUCAACAGGAGGAACACACCAGGAGCAUCAUCAUCAACACCACCAUCAGCAUCCUCGUCAGAAGGACCAAGAAAGAUGCGGAAUCUUGAAGAGUUGUACGAUACCACUCAGGUCAUGGAAGAUACAACUUUGUUUUGUUUCCAUGCAGAUAAGGACCCACCAGAAAAGAAGAAAGCAAAAGGUGUCAAAAGGGUCUACAAGACGAAAGCCAAAUUAGUGGAUAAAGGCUACAAGAGAGAAGGCAUUGAAAGAAGAAGUGUCCAUGCUUGGCAUGACAUCCCUCGAUUGAGUUUAAAGGGGAGAUUUGUUGAAUUAAACUCAACAUCUAGAUGGUCAAGGAAGGAAACCACCAGCUGCCACCGACCAGCCGUCAGCCACCAGCCGCCUUCACACCGCCGGUCAACAGCCGCCUUCACACCUGGAACAGUAGAUUUUUGUAUUCUGAAUUUAUGUAUAAAUAGGGUGCUCAGUUAUGUUAAAUUGUGUGGAGAGAAUUGAGAGAAACACUUGAAAGAGAAAGAGAGAGAGAGAGGGCGUGUAUUAAGCUUUUGUUUUGUGUUAAUUGUAAGCUUCGGUUUUGUGUAAUAAAACAGUGUGUUUUAUCCCCUCUGAGUGUCUCAAAGCCACCACCAGUGGUUUCUCCCACCAACAGCCCACACAACAGUCUUUAGUGAAAUCCCGGAUAGAAAAACCCCUAUAGAAUAGCCGUCGCGUUGUCGGAAAAAUCCGAAAGCAUAAAGACCAGAAGGUGACAACCAUAAGGAGUUUGUGAAAGGUGUUAGAGAAGAUCCGAGGGUUAUAUUGGUCUGUCUUUGAGCUGAAGCUGUAAAAGAUAAGGCGAGAAGAAGAAAAAAGAUGAUAGAAGCCAUGGAUAGGGAUUUAGCUCUUGUCUGGUAUGGGAGUGUCAAUAUAAGGAUGUCUAAUGUUCCAGCACUCCAGUCUCUUUCUUUGGGUUCCAGCAGUCAAGCCAGGCACUCAGAACAUGAAAGUCUAGCCAUAAAAUCCACGCUUGCUUGUAUGCUUUCAAAGUCAAUGCAGUUGCGACGCCCCAUUUGAACAGCCAUUUGCUAAUUUCCCCUGGACUGUUCUUGGUUCUAAUUUUCUGCAGCAGAUUCUUUUUUAUUUGUCAAGUACCAUCAAUAUGCUUUUGAUAACAUAUUGAUGGUAUGGUUUUUUCUAUGGUUUUUUCAAUGGACCGUUGAUUCUAUGGUUUUUUUCCACACGUAUUUUGCAGGAACAGAAAUUGGACGUAUGAGUAAAGUAAUGUAUCUCUUGUCCUUGGCUGUAGCCAGUCUUUCUUUGAGCGUGUUUGGAAUUAAGAUAGUAAUAAUGGUUUAAAAUGUUUUUUAUUUAAAAAUAUAUUAAAAUAAAAAUUUGUUAUUUUAAAAAAAAUUAUUUUUAAUUUUAAUAUAUUAAAAUAAUUUAAAAAUAUAAACAAAAUUUAAAAUUUAAAAUAACAGAAAUGUGUUCGAUUGACGGAUUGAGGGUGCCCCUGUAUGACUUUAUUCAGAGUAUAAUUAAGGUGGUCACAACAGGGACUGUUCUCAGCAAAAAUGUCUUCUCUGACUAGCUUCAAAGCCAUGGGUGCGCUUUGAGGGGCUUUAUAAUUUAUUUAUUAAAAAUGUAUUAUGAAAAAGUAAAUAUGUAAAUCUUCAUGGGAGAUCUCUAAUAGAUGAAUUCUACAUUUUUUUUUGCCCGUAAGUUUUUUCUAACUUUAAAAAAUAUAAAGUCCAUGCAGUUAUAACUUAAAUCAACCUGGAUUAAUUUAACUAAUAUACAAAGCUCAAGGUGCAAUUAUUUAAUAUUAAAAAUUAAAAUUAUAUAAAUAAAAAAUAUUAAAUAAAAAAAUUUAAGUCAACUCAUCACCCGCAAUACAAGACUAGAACUAAAAAAUAAUUAAAAAAAAACUUAAAAAAACUCAUGAGCACUGUAUAUUGAAAUUGAAAAUGCUGUUGAAAGUUAUAUUUAUUGAAAUUAAAGGUUUUUUCAUAUUUUCAUAAAGGUUUACAUCAUUGUUUUACUUUUUUUAAAAAAAUUAUUAUUUGACAUUGUUUUUUUUUUAAAAAGGCUUUGUAGUUUUUAAUUUUUAUUUCAAUUGUAGUGUCUCGAUCUUAUAAUUUAAAUUAUAAAUUUACUGGGUUAAUUCAAGUUGACUCGAUCCUUUUUCUAGAUUCACUUUUCUAUGAAAGGAAUUUUACUCUCUUUUUUAACAUUAUUUUUUUAAAAAAAUAAAAUUAGUUCAUCCCUGUGGCGCAGAGCAGGUGCACAUCUAGUCUCUCUGCUAAAUGUUUUGCAAUCUGAUUUGCUUCUCUAAAUACAUGACUGAAACUGACUAAUAUAUAAUUAAACAAACUCUAGAGAAUCCCAUACAUACCUAAUCGUUUGAACGCGAAAUUGAUGCAUUUGGAUGUAAAGUGAAAACCGUAAAUUAGGACUCCUAAAUUUCUAGUUUUUAGGGUUCAGAUUUCUAUCAGUCAUGAAGAGAGAGAUUUUGAUUUUUUUUUGAGAGAUAAAGGAGGACAAGAGAAAGUAUUGAAUGUGAGUGUUACCAGUCAUUUCUUAUAUAUUAUAUAUAUGAGGGUAAUUUUUUUUUUUGAUUAUUUUAAAGAUUUUUUAUUAUAAUUUCUCAAAGUAUUUUUUAUAAUGGGGAAAUGAAAACACGAUCAAAGCACAAGAAUGAUAAAUAUCCGUUCUCAUCUUGCGGGGGGAUAUUGGAACCUAGCGCAUACUCACACAAAACAUAAAGAAGCUAAGGAUGCAGACAAUUCUUCAUUGCUUGCGGAGCAAGUAACCCCUGCAGCCGACUCCCCUACACCAAAAGACUAACGAAGACUAGCCAAGUUAUCAUAACACAUUGUAAAUUGUGGAUAUAAUAAAGUUAGUUAUAUACUGUUAAAGUUAGUUAGAAUAUGUGUAUAUAUAUGUAUUCAUGUAUACUGCAAAAGAGACAAAUAAUAAGAGAAGAAAUACUGCAUAUUGAUUGCAGACUUUCCAAACGUAUCUUCCUUCUUCUUCUCUCAUAAGAAAUUUUAUUCUCUUCUUCUUUCUCUACUUCUACAGGAAAGAAUAAAUUCUGCUAUAACAAAAUUAUUAUGGUAUCAGAGCAAGAUUUCUUCUAAAUCUCUGAAAAUAUAUACUCUUCUUUAUUUUUUUUCAGAAAGAUUCAAGAUCUUUGUAGUUGGAUAUUUUUCUGUCAUCAACUUCUUGAUUCCUUCAAAACUUCAAAAUGUCUGAUCAUCUUGAAGAAAGUGCUUCUACAGCACAUAAAGAUUCAUCCAAUAUCACUACUCUGAAUCUUUCUGAUGAUUCUUCCAGCUGCUACUACCUCCAUCCUUCUGAUAAUCCUGGCGCACUUCUAGUUUCUGAAAUCUUCACUGGCGAAAAUUAUAUUGCAUGGAGCAGAUCCAUGACAAUUGCCUUAACAGUGAAAAACAAGAUUGCCUUCAUUGAUGGAUCUUUAGUUCAACCAAACACCACCAAUCAAUCACUUUGUGUGGCAUGGCUGAGAUCAAACAAUCUGGUUCUAUAAUGGCCGAUGAAUUCAAUUGCCAAAGAAAUUAGCAACAACCUUCUUUACUUCACAACAACAUUCGAUAUCUGGGAAGAAUUACGAAUGAGAUAUCUUAGAAGUGAUGGACCAAGGGUUUUUAGUUUAGAAAAAUCUUUGAGUUCUAUUUCCUAGAAUUCAAAAUCUAUCACUGAAUAUUUCAGUGAAUUCAAGGCACUAUGGGAUGAAUACAUCAGUUAUCGCCCAAUCCCAAGCUGCAAAUGUGGAAAUCUUGAUUCCUGCUCAUGCAACAUUUUUAAACAUCUAACAGAUCGACAACAAUCCGACUUUGUUAUGAAAUUUUUGGUUGGCCUUCAUGAUUCUUACUUAGCAGUUAGAAGCCAACUAUUGCUCCAAACUCCUUUGCUAUCUAUGGGCAGAGUCUUUUCCCUACUUCUUCAAAAAUAGAGUCAGAGAUCCCUAACAAAUGCAGCAGGCAUUCCAAUUGAUUGCCAAGCAAUGAUUGCUGAACACUACCACAAUCAAAAUUCCAAAUCAGGUUCAACAUAUACUACACGCUUUGCUAAACAAAAAGGAAAAACUGAGGCAACCUGCUCCCACUGUGGAUAUCCUGGACAUACUAUUGAUAAAUGUUUCUAACUUAUUGGAUACCCUCUUGGGUGGAAAGGAUCAAGAGGAAAAAGAUUUGCUACUAUGCCACAGACCAGCAAAAACUUUCAACGAUUACCCACUGCACAUCAUACUACUAUCUUGCAACCACAUCUUGACACCCCUAACAUUGUUUUCUCUCAAGAACAGAUGCAAAAUCUACUCACUCUAGCAAAUAGCAUUUCCAGCUCAAAGAUAAAUAACACUACUAAAGAAGUAUCUACAUCAGGUAUAUCUUUUUCAUGUCAUACAUCAUCUUCACCUCAAAAUAGAUUUUCAUGGAUUCUUGAUACUGGAGCCACAUAUCACAUGAUUUGUAGUCCUCUUCUUUUUUAAUCCAUCAUUCUCCCUAAAACUCAGUCUAAAACUCAGUCUAAAGUUCAUCUGCCAAAUGGUCAACAUGUACCAAUUCUCUUCACUGGAACGGUUAAAUUUUCUCCUGACAUCAUUUUAUACAAUGCACUUUAUGUUCCAGCUUUUAAUAUCAAUCUAAUUUCUGUUUCUAAAUUAACUGCCGCUAACACUGUUGGCUUAUUUUUUCUUCACACAAAAUGUAUUCUGCAGGAUCUAAGCAAAUGGAAGAUGAUUGGUCUUGCUGAAGCUGAAUCUGGUCUCUACAAUCUUCACAAACCCCCUGAUCAAAAUACUAAAGAAUCACCUCCUAGAUCAAACAUCAAAUCCUGUGUUGUUGCGACAAAUCUCUAGCAUUUACGUUUAGGCCACAUCCCUCCCUCCAAAAUCACCCUUUUGAACAAAACUGAUCCUUCAGUCACUAUCAGCAACAAUACCAUUUGUGAUAUUUGCCCCCUAGCUAAACAAAAACGGUUGCCCUUUUCUUUAUCUAUUCAUAAAUCUACAACAGCUUUUCAAUUAGUUCACAUUGACAUUUGGGGACCAUUCUCUGUUACCUUUUAUUCUGGUUAUCAAUUUUUUCUUACUAUUGUAGAUGAUUACAGUAGAUUUACUUGGUUAUUUUUAAUGAAAUCUAAAUCUGAAACAAGACAUCUUCUCAGCAAUUUUCUAGCCUAUGUUCAUACUCAAUUUAACACCAACAUUCAAACUCUCAGAUCCGACAAUGGCCAAGAAUUUAAUAUGCCUACUUUCUACCAAACGCAUGGCAUCAUACAUCAAUUAACAUGUGUUGAAACACCUUAACAGAAUGGAAGGGUUGAAAGAAAACAUCAACACCUGCUCAAUUUAGCUCGAUCUCUUCUGUUUCAAUCCCAACUACCUUUAUCUUAUUGGACAAAUUGCAUACUCACAGCCACACACCUCAUUAAUCGUACCCCCUCCCUCAUUCUCCAAAAUCAGACACCUUACCAAGUUCUUUAUCACAAACCACCAUAUUACAAUUACUUAAGAGUAUUCGGCUGUUUAUGUUUUGCUAGCACAAUCACACAUAAUAGAGGUAAAUUUCAUCCCAGAGCCACGAAAUGUAUUUUUCUUGGAUACCCUCCACACAUUAAAGGAUACAAAGUUCUUGACUUAACCAUUUGCAAAACCUUUGUAUCUCGAAAUGUUGUUUUUCAUGAAUCCACCUUUCCAUCUAUUCCAAACAAAGUUCAUACACCCCUUGUGUUCCCUGACUAUCCUCAAAAUUUUGACCCUUUUCCUUGUCUCCCAUCAAACACAACUCUACAUGAUUCUGUUGUUCCUGCAAAACUUCCUAUACAACCUCCUGUUCCUCACAUUUCUCCCCUACCUCCUCCUCCUCUUCCCCAACUUAGAAAAUCUGAAAGAAAUAAACAUCCACCUACUUACUUAACACAGUAUUAUUGUGGACAUAUGGCUCAGAUUGCUUCAGCAACUCCAGACUCUCCACCUUGCUCCCUGCCUGGUAAGCCCUACUCUAUCUUUUCUUUCUUGUCUACCUCCCAAUUAUCUUUACCCCACUGUGCUUUCACUUCUUCUGUUUCAUCUGUUUAUGAACCGAAAACUUACAAACAAGCUAGCUCUAUCCCUCAUUGGCAACAUGCUAUGACCAAUGAAAUCAAAGCUCUUGAGAAAAACAAAACUUGGGACUUAGUCAUUCUGCCACCAAAUAAAACUGUCAUUGGAUGUAAAUGGGUCUACAAAGUUAAAUUUCAGGCUGAUGGACAGGUUGAAAGAUAUAAAGCACGAUUGGUAGCAAAAGAAUACACACAACAAGAGGGAAUUGAUUUUUUUGACACUUUCUCUCCUGUUGCAAAAAUCACAACAGUACGAGUUCUUCUCACCAUUGUUGCAGCCAACAAUUGGCAUUUACAUCAACUUGAUGUAGACAAUGCCUUCCUACAUGGUGACUUAUAUGAGGAAGUAUAUAUGCAAUUACCACCUGGCUACUCCAAUCACAAUGACCCUCGAAUCUGCAAGCUCAAAAAGAGCAUCUAUGGUCUUAAACAGGCUUCUAGACAAUGGUUUUCCAAACUCUCUGCAUCUCUACUUCACUUUGGUUUUCUACAAGCCAAAUCAGAUUCUAGCCAUUUCAUCAAGCAAUCUCACACAGCCCUCAUUGACAUUUUAAUCUAUGUUGAUGAUGUUCUCAUCGCCUCCAAUGAUCUUACAGCACUGACUAUAGUAAAAAACUACCUUCGCACAAUUUUCCCUAUCAAAGAUUUGGGAAACCUUAAAUACUUUCUCGGUAUUGAGGCAGCUCGAUCUACCAAAGGCAUUGUUCUUUUCCAAAGAAAAUAUGCCUUGGACAUACUUACAGACAGUGGUUUUUCUGGCGCUAAACUUGUCAAUUUUCCAAUGGAAUCCACACUCAAACUCAGCACACAUGAUACUAGCCCUCCCUUGACUAAUCCUGCAUCUUAUCGUAGACUUAUUAGCAAGCUUCUCUAUCUUACACUCACAAGACCAGACUUAUCCUAUGCCAUCCAAACUCUCAGCCAAUUCAUGUCAAACCCUCACACCCUAUAUAUGCAAGCAGCAGAGAGAGUUCUUCGGUAUCUCAAAGCCACACCAGGAAAAGGCUUACUUCUCAAAGCUGCUUCUCCUCUUCAUUUAAAAGCUUAUUCUAACAGUGAUUGGGGAGGUUGCAUUGACACUCGUCGACGUGUUACUGGCUACCUAGUCUUUCUUGGAGAUUCAUUAAUAUCCUGGAAAUCAAAGAAACAACCUACUGUAAGUAGGUCCUCUGCAGAAGCUGAAUAUCGGGCAUUGGCAACUACUUCAUGUGAACUACAAUGGCUUACUUAUUUACUAGCCGAUUUCCACAUCCCUCACUCUCAACCUGCCUUACUCUACACUAACAGCAAACCAGCCUCCGAAAUAGCUUACAACCCUGUUCAUCAUGAACGCACCAAACAUAUCCAACUUGACUGUCAUCUUGUACGUGAAAAAAUGCAAGAAGGACUCCUUACCAUCAUUCACAUUCCUUCCAAAUUUCAAUUAGUUGAUGCCCUCACUAAACCACUUGGUUAUCACAUGCUUAAUCCUCUCCUUGACAAGAUGGGAAUGAUAAAUAUCCAUUCUCAUCUUGCGGGGGGAUAUUGGAACCUAGCGCAUACUCACACAAAACAUAAAGAAGCUAAGGAUGCAAACAAUUCUUCACUGCUUGCGGAGCAAGCAACCCCUGCAGCCUACUCCCCUACACCAGAAGACUAACGAAGACUAGCCAAGUUAUCAUAACACAUUGUAAAUUGUGGAUAUAAUAAAGUUAGUUAUAUACUGUUAAACUUAGUUAAACGUUUGUUAACGUUUUAUUAACAGAAGCUAGUUAGAAUAUGUGUGUAUAUAUGUAUUCAUGUAUACUGCAAAAGAGACAAAUAAUAAGAGAAGAAAUACUGCAUAUUGAUUGCAGACUUUCCAAACGUAUCUUCCUUCUUCUUCUCUCAUAAGAAAUUUUAUUCUCUUCUUCUUUCUCUGCUUCUAUAGGAAAGAAUAAAUUCUGCUAUAACAAAAUUAUCAUAAUUAGAGAAAAACAAUUUACUAUAUUUCAUAUGUCACAAAUAUUUUUCAUAAAAUAAAUACAACUUAACUUUGAUAAAUGAUACCUCUAGAAAUGUGGAAUCCAUUUAUAAUUGAAUUAAAAUUAUAUUGAAAUGCUUCUUAUCAGAACAGAAAAAAAAAACAUAUUGAAAUGGGCCUACCAAAUACAGCAUUAAAUAUUUUAAUUACCAUAAAAUUGACAACUAGCAAUGAAAUUAACAACAAAAAAUAUUUUCAUUGGUAAUAUCCGAUGAAAAUAGCAAUGAAACAUAUCCAUUAAAUAUUAAAAAAUUAAAUAGCAAUGGAAUAUGUGCAAUCAAUAAUUAUCAAUGAAAUUGGCAAUGAAAUAAAAAUAAUUAGAAAAAAUAAAUAAAUAUUAUGUCAGCAAUUCCAUCGAUAAUAUGACACAUCAUUAUUUACAAAAUGUUUCAUUGGUAUUCACCGAUGAAAAUAUUUCAUCAGUAGUUUUCAUUGGAAGUUUUGUCGAUAAAUUUACAAGUGUUACAACCAACAACAACCCGCCCUAUCCAUUUCUUCUUCUUAUUUAAUAUCAGAAAAUAGGUACCCUCCUUGUUAUGUCACAAAUCUAGGCCUUGUAUUUAUAAAUUUGACCACCCCAACAUUCAAUAGUGUCAGUAUUAUUAUCUCGGUUCAAUUUUUUCUAAAUACUCACUACACCAAGUAAGCAAACCUACAUAUUUAUGUUUUAGGUUAAUUUAUUGAUAUUUUUGUAAUAUUUUGUAAUUUAAUUGUAUAUUUAAGUGUUUUACAUCUGUUUUUCCUUAAGAAUUUUGUUGUAUUAAAGAAUGAUUUGUAUGUUAGGAUUUGUUUGGGAUUUGAAGAAAAUUGAAUUUGUUUUUCAUUUGAUGAAUUUAAGUUUGAUUUUGUAAUUUAUGUUUGUUAUAUCAGAAGAAAUGAUAAGUUAUUUAAUAGAUAUAAUUAUAUUUUGUCGAUUUUAUUAAGUUUGGAAAUUUUACUAGGUGUGUUAUGCAACCCAAGAUUAAAGACGCGUUGUAGUGUUUUGAUCAUAAACAUUUCAUAAUCCAACAUAAAACAACCAUCACUUGUCAUUUAGGAGUUAGAUUCAAGAACAAAUUAUUGUUGCAAAGGCUAAACUUGAGGUAGAGUAUGAAGAAUGAAGUAGAAAGCAAUGAAAGUAAAUGAUAAUAUACAUGUAGACUUAUUAUUCUCCCACUGGAAAUAUUCAUCCCCCUCCACCUCUACCUUCAUAUGCAGCUCCAACUUUAGUUAGUUAGGAGUUUAUCUAAUAUAUUAAGAUAUUUAUAAUUGAUUUUAUAAUUAAAUUAAUGAAAUAAAAUGUGUUCUUUAAUUUAAUAUAAUUAAAUAUUAAUUUGUUUAAUCUAAAUAAACAUUUAUUAAAAAAAAUAAACAACAAACAUAGAAAUUAAGUUGAUGAUUUUGUCAAUUACAUCAGUCUAUUUGUAUCUAAAAAUUACAUAAAAAUUGUUUAAUUUUUUGGCAUCAUUGAUACAAUCACUGCCAUAAUUUUUAUGUUCACGAUCCGUCAUCGAUACAUGAUCAAUUACCGACUGGUAUUCUGUCGUUUAUCGUUUAUGCCUUGGAACUGUACCUGUGUGUAGGUAUGGACAAUUGCUUUUUAGGCAAGAAACUGCGUUGUGGGAUAGGAGAAGAAGGGGCAGAAACAAGCAAAGAUCAUUCUCUCAUCCUAUUCUUCAUGAAGAGCUCUCACUCUUGAGAUUACAUCAGACCAACAAAAGUUGUUUUUACUCAUCCUAAUAAGAUCAUCACAGAGAAGAUUGGCAAGGAACUUCUAAGUACUGGUGUUGUUUUGAUUUCCUUUUCUUUGGUGGUCUUUGCAUCAUCUGACUUGAUGGUCAUGAUGACACGCCAAGCUUCUCCACCAGAUGUCACUGAAGGUAUUAAGAUCUGCACCUUUUAGCUACGAUCAACUCGCGGUGGCCACGAUGAUUCAAGGAAGAGAUCGGUAAAGGGGCAUCAGGAGGCUCUGUAGAGGCUCGUUAGCAAAGAAUGACGGGAAAGAAAUAGCAGUGGAGAGUCUAGAGAAGGUGGUGGAAGAUGGAGAAGGGGAGUUCCGAAACGGGGUGAAGAUAAUGGAGAGGACUACAAUAACUUGGUACGUUUGAUUGGCUUUUGCAGUGAAGGAUCAAAUAGGCUUCUUGUGCAUGAGUUCAAGAUCAUUCAUUGUAACAUAUUUUCUUCUCUAGAGUUUAUAAUAAAUAAAUUAUUUGUAAGAAAACGAAGUUCAGUUGCAUUGUUGAUGGUGUUCCAAAAUUUACUAUGUUUAGAAAUGAGAAUUUUAAGUGUUUAAAUGAAUGAUGAUUAUACAUUCACUUCUAUAUUUUCUUGUUCACAAUUCAUAAAAUUGAUUGUUGGUGAUAAAAGACUUGACACUUAUAAAAUAGUUUUUUUUUUGUGGGGCUUAGGGGGCAUCUGAAUGAUAAAGUUAAUGACUUUUUAUAUGAGAUUAUAAUAAAUUAAGAAAAUAAGCUUUAAAUAAAAAAAUAAAUAAAAAUGUUUGUUCUUAUUUAUGUAUGAUAAAACACCUUGAAAAUAAGAAUAUAAACACUUUAAAGAAUAGAAAAAGUGUGAACCUUUUACUUGAAUGGUUCAGAGAAAUUUAUAAUGCCUGAACUUUGUUGUUUUUUUUAAGGGGUGGAUAGUCACUUCCUUUUGAAAAUGUAAAUGAGAAAAAACAUCUUACACAACAUUAAUUUUAAUGGAAAUAACCCUUACAUUAAUAUUGAUUGGAAUACGUAGGACUUGUAAGAGAUUUUUAUAUAUUAUUUUGUAUGUAACAUUAAUGUUGAUGGGAAUUGUCUUUAAUCAACAUUAAUUUUGAUUAGAAUAUGACAGGUUUUUGAAAGAUUUUUAUACACCUAAGAAUAUGACUAUCAUAGACUCUUAAUAUUUUAUGUUAAGAAUUAUAAAAUAGCUUUAUGACUCAAUAUAGGGCUUAUAAAAACUUUUAACCCCAUAUGUAUUUGCACCUAGAUUGAUUUUAAACUCAAGGGUUUUGAGUCAAAUAUUUUGUCAGACCCAUAGGAACUUGAGCUUUAGCGUCAGACCUAUAUUCACUCAGGCUUAACGCGUAGCUGAGUCCAAUGGUAUUUGGUCUGGAAUCUCGUCAAACUCACAUGUACUUGAGCUCAACACAUAAUUAAACUCAAGGGUGUUGGGUCAAGAAGCAAGCCAGACUCACAUCAUCUAGGUUAACACCUUGCUUUUGACCUUUUUUAUGAUUGGCUUCUUAAGCAAACAAAUUGUGUAUAAAAUAUACUAAUCUAGUAGUGGCCCCGUAAGGGUAUUUCUUCCAUCUUGCUUUUGAGUUAAGGUAUUCCAUCCAUUUUCAAGGAUUUAUGAGAGACAUCUUUAGGUAUUAUAAAUUGGGUUUAAGCCAAUUGCACCCCAAAUGAUGGGUGAUUUUAGGGGCGAGUAAAAAAAUUAAAAAACCAAUUAAACCAAGAAAACAAAAAAAAUAACAAAAAAAACUGAACGGUGAAAAAAACCAAAUUAAACUGAUUAGAAUGUUUAAAAAAAUUGACCGGUUUAGUUUUGGUUUCAUAAGCCUAUAUAUAUAUAAAUUGUGUCCAGCUUGCUAUGUGUGGAGUCAGUUGCACAACUCUUGGGUCCUAUGUCAAGAAUUGUGACUUAGGGCGUUUCUUUCUUUGCCAAAAGCUUCUGGCAGCCAAACCCAUAACACUUCCAAAACAUACCAAUAACCUUGGGUCUUGCUACCCAACAUGGCCUAAUAGUGUUGUGAAAGGCAUAGCCAAACCCAAAACACUUCAAAAAAGAACUGGGUUUGGUUGACCAGCCAAACCCAACAAUCUUAGGUCUGGCUCGGCAGCUAAACCCAACACCUUUUUGAAGUGUUUUGGGUAUAGCUCCACACUAUUGGGUCCUGUAGUAGGACCCAAUGCUAUUGGCACCUUCUUGGGUCUAAUUGGGUAGCCUGACCCAAUAUCUUUAGGUCCGGCUGUACAACCAUACCCAAAAUAGUUUUGGGUUCGACUGUUUAACAGGACACAAUAGGUUUGGGGACCAAAUAACACUAGGUCCAAACCAAAUUUUCUUGAGUCCAGUGUCCGGACGGUGUUGCACCUGAUACUAAUGGGUUCUGCGUCGCGACCCAAUUCUCUAGUGUCCAUGUUAGGACCCAUGGUUCAAGUAUCCGGCUUUAGGACCCGAUUGUAUUUUGUCCGCGUCAGGAGCCAAGUGUAAUGGGUCCUACUUUUGGACCUAAUUAUAUUGGUAUCGCAUGUGUGCGGUGUCGCGGCGAACUGGUUUCACUUUAAAUCUAAAAGUAAAUCUAUCAAGCAAAUAUGGGGAGACAAGAAAUUUUUGUCGCUUAUCGGUGGAAAAUGGAAUGUGAGUCGCCACCUAGUAUUUUGAUCACUAGGAACCCUAACUGGUCUCAGAGAUCGGGUACGGGACUGAUUGCGUAAAUGGAAGGUAUUAGUACCCCAAAUACGCUUUACCCAAGGUAAGCUGCAUUGUUUGAUUGUCUGAUAAAAGCUAAGGUGUUAUUGUAUUUCUAGUUGUUGGUCUGUCUAUGGUUCAAGAAAAAUCCUCCUCAAUAAAGAGGUCCUUAUCUUAUCGGGUAAAAACUUAAAUGUUCUAACGUCUAUAUGAAAACUAUAUUUUUAAUAUCAGGAAUGCGUUUUACGUAUAAAUUCGUAAUCCUAGAUACUAAAAGAAGACAAAAGGAUUUUUUUUGAAUUUUUGAAAUAUUGGCCUAGUUCUCAUGACUCUAACAAACUUGUUGUUAAAGCCAAAGUGCAUGCUAAUACAUAUAUAUUUUUUUGAAAUUUUUCCCUGUUGUAUGCAAAUAUAAUGUGAUGAUUUUUUAUAUAUAUUUUGGAGAGACUAGGCCGUAUGCAUGAAAACAAAACACUUUUUUAUUUUAUUAUAUAUUUUUUAUGCCUUGAUGAAAACCGGGUAUUUUAAUACUAGAUUUUUAUCUUUACGGUAUAAAAAUACAAACCAAUAUUAAGCAAUAAAAAUAUGCAGGAAAAUCAACAAUUUUUUUAAGGAUUUUUCAGAAUUUUGAAUAUAAAACAUUUUAUAUUUUAUAUUUUUUGAUGUAUUGAUGAAAACCAUGUAUUUUAAUACUAGAUUUGUAUCUUUACAGUAUAAAAAUAAAAACCAAUAUUGAUCAAAAUGCAGUAACAAUAUUGCGGAAAAUCACAAAUUUUUUGAAAUAAUUUUUGAAGAAUUUUGUUUUUUUUAUGGGUCGGGUCCAAUUCGGCCCAUGUGGCUGGGGCGGAACCAAUAGGCCUAACUAGGCUGGACCCGGCCCAAAAGAAGACCGGGCUGAAAUCAGCCUAAAAUAAAAUGGGCCUACCUUCUAUAGGGUUGGACUCAGCCCAGCCGUAGGGCUGGGCUUAUGUUCCAGCCCGAAACAAAUGUGGAGCACAGUCCAGUUAAUUAAUUAGCACAGUAACCAGCUAAUUAUUUUUCUUGCAAGAAGAUGAACAGUAAGAGGGUUGAGGGGAAGAGUUACCAAGGGUGAUGAGCUUGGACGGAGGAGCUCUUCCUCUUCUCUGCUGUUUUUGACGUUGCUUCUUCUCUUGGUUUCCUUUGUUCCCUCUGUUAACGAUAUUCUUCCUUCUCUGCAGCGGCUUCGUGGAGGUGCUGGUGGUGGCGACCUGGGGAGGGGCUGAGAAGGUGGUUUGGCGAUGUUGUUGCUGCAGUUUUUUUUUCCUUCGUAGAGGCGCAGGUUCCUGUUUUUUCUUCAAUGGUGUUGUAGCGUGUGGGAGGAAGAUGAUGAGCUGAGGAAGGAUGACGAUGGCGUGGGCAGUGCUGUUGUGUUUGUGUUCCUGGUGGCGUUGUUGUCGGGGUAUCCGGCUGUGGUCGCUCUUCCUCCUCUCUUCUGUCGUUACUUCUCUCUGUUUAUGUCACCUUGUUUCUCUGCUUCUUCUUCGCUAGCUCUAAAAGGAAGGCAGGCGGUUGUAGUGUGGUUUCAAACGGUGGAGAGAGAGAGAGAGCAGAGAGAGAGGUUACCGUUCUUCUCUUCCCCUCUAUUUUCCUUCUUUCUCUUCUGCCAUGUUUCUCACCUCUCUAUCGUCUUUCGUUAAAAAAAAAACUCUCCCCCUUUCUCUCUUGUUUUUUUUUCCGUCUCUUGUUCAAAAAACAAAAUUGACCCUUCUGUCUCACAAAAAACCUCCCUCCUCUGUUUUGGUUUCUCUCUUCUCUACACUCUCACAGUACCUCUUCUCGUUUCAAACUUCCCUAUCCUUUCAGUUUCCAAAAGCCCUGCCCCUCAUUCUGGUGUUGGGCGCAAUAUUUAUAGAGCAAAGAAAAAGCGUCUUGCUGUCGCGCAUGGGAAGCAGGAGACACCGGGUGAGGUCUCCAACAGGCGUGGCUUUGCAGGGCACGUCUACACUGUUUUCUAGCCAUGGAAUUUUAGGUUUAUGCAGCAGCAUGCAGGGAGAGAGAAGUUUCUCAAAAUGACACUAUUUUUUUUUUUUUGAUAGGGUAUUGAAAAAUGAGUUACAACAAUUGGGAUAUAUGUCAGGAUUCAAUUCUCUUGGGUCCUACAUAGUUUAAGAUUAAUGAAUUUUAGAUUUUUAAAUAUUAUUAUUUAUGUUAUAAAUAUUAUUAUUUUUAUUAUAAUUAAAAAUAUUAAUAUAAAAAUAUUGUUUUUUGUGCUAUAAAUAUUAUUAUUUUUAUUAUAAUUAAUUUUAUUAAUAAAAUAAUUAAUAAAUUUUAAAAAAAAUUAUUAUUAAUAUUGAAAAUCAACCAUAGAUUUGAUUUGAAAUGUAAAAUUGAAAAUUUUUAUUGUUAUCAUUAAUAAAAAAAAAUUAAAAAAAUUAUUAUUACUAUUGAAGAAAACCCAUAAUUUUUCAAAAAGAUUAACAAAUAUAAGAAUUUAGACAGACAAGUUAAAUAUUAUUACUUAUAUUAUAAAUAUUAUUGUUGGGUUUGUCAUUACAGUCAGACUCGACUCCUUUAAUUUUUCUGUUUCAACCAGACCCAAAGCUUUUGAGCCAUAUAUUUUUUUCAUAUUUUUUAUUAAAAUAAAACGUUGGCUGCAAUAUAGUGCAGGCCACCUAACUAAUAAUGGACUCCAAAUAAAUUAAUUCUGCUUCAAGGAAAACAAACAUAUUAAAAUCAUAAAAACAUUUUACUAUAAAAUAUUAUACAGAAUAAACGUAACUUACUCUAAAUUUCCUCAAACAAUCUUGCAUUGCAAGAUUAAAUGGGCAGUAACAACGCCAGGAAAGCUUUCUUGUGGAUUUAAACACAUUUUUCUAUUCCUCUUAAUUAUGGGAGGGGGGAGCUAUCUUCUGCUGUGUAGGAAGAUCUGAUGAAACAAAGGAACAAUUGUUUUCAUUUUACCAAAAACAUAUUUAGUGGAAGACAACCCUGCCAUCACUGGUGAAGAGCAAGGUCGCAUUACUGGGGACUGGGGCGUCAUCCCUUCUAGCAGCCCACACAACAGUCUUUAGUGAAAUCCCGGAUAGAAAAACCCCAAUAGAAUAGCCGUCGCGUUGUCGGAAAAAUCCGAAAGCAUGAAGACCAGAAGGUGACAACCAUAAGGAGUUUGGGUUAGGUGUUAGAGAAGAUCCGAGGGUUAUAUUGGUCUGUCUUUGAGCUGAAGCUGUAAAAGAUAAGGCGAGAAGAAGAAAAAAGAUGAUAGAAGCCAUGGAUAGGGAUUUAGCUCUUGUGUGGUAUGUGAGUGUCAAAAUAAGGAUGUCUAUUGUUCCAGCACUCCAUUAUCUUUCUGUGGUUUCCAGCAGUCAAGCCAGGCACUCAAAACAUAAAAGUCUAGCCAUAGAAUCCACCGCGUUUCCCUACCAAUUGGUGGAAAUUGUUGCUCUUACUUUUAUGCUUUCAAAGUCAAUGCAGUCAACUCACCGAAAAAACUUGGCAAUUACUUGGCGCUGGUCCCCCUUUUCGAUCUUGGUAUCCCCCAUUUGAUCAGCCAUUUGCUAAUUUCCCCUGGACUGUUCUUGGUUCUAAUUUUCUGCAGCAGAUUCUUUUUUAUUUGUCAAGUACCAUCAAUAUGCUUUUGAUAACACAAUCUUGAGCUUCCUGCAGACAGCUUCAACUACUUGAGAGAUGCCAAUUGUGGUGCUAAUGCUAAUACCCCGCCAUAAUACUAGGGCAAGGCAGAACAAAUGGAUUAUAUUCAUGUCCUUCGAUGCAAAAGGCUAGAUAGCAACGUCACUUUCUAACAAAAGAUCAUGUUAUAAUUAACCCUUAUGGACAACUUAAUUAGUUUAUGGACAACUUAAUUAGUCCUUUCUUGAGUUUUUUUUUCAAUAAUCAUGAGUUUGAGUUCUUUCAGAAUCAUUAAAAGUUUACAUGAUCAUUAAAUUAAGAAUAUGUGGGAUUAGUCGAGAUGAGCACAAGUUAAUCCGGACAUCAACGUUAACAAUAAAAAAAAAAAAUCAUGUUAUAAUUUAUAUGUGAAAAGUAGGGAUUUUGAAUUCGGGUAAUCUCAACAAGGUUGUACUUUUCUUUCUCCAGGUCAACUUGGAUCUUCCUCUGUUCUCAUGUUUAGCUUCCUGCAAGAACAUUCCUUCCGAGGCACAUUUUUCCUGAAAUUAUACUAUAUAUGGGAACUUUCAAGUUUUGUUUGAAAUAAAACUUUUAUUUGCUUCCUCACGAUUUCAUUUUAGUCUCGAAUUUAAGAUAUUUUUUCGUAAAUACACUAGUUUGGAUAUGAAUGGCCAGCGUGAAACUUCAUAGAAGAUGGACCGUUGAUUCUAUGGUUUUUUCCACACGUAUUUUGCAGGAACAGCAAGUGGACGUAUGAGUAAAGUAAUGUAUCUCUUGUCCUUGGCUGUAACCGGUCUUUCUUUAUCUUGUAAUAACAAGGUGAGUUCGAUUGAGGGUUCCGCUGUAUGACUAUAUUCAGAGUAUAAUUAAGGUGGUCACAACAGGGACUGAGUCAAUGUACAACCGAGCAUUUGCUGGCAGGCUCUUCUCAGCAAAAAUGUCUUCUCUUACUAGCUUCAAAGCCAGUGGUGUAUCCUCAAUACAAGUUGUUGCAACUCUGAAGAACAUAUUGCUAGUAUUUGUUGAGACUUGAGAAUAACAUUACCCAUCUAGAAACCUGGCCAAAAUAUAGGUUUCAGUUUUCCAGCCAUAAUCCCGACACAUGAGAUAAGGUGGGAAACAACUUUACAGGCAUUAACAUUAGAAGAAAAAUCAACAGGAAGCUAUGCUGCGUAAACAUAAAGGAACUCAGUACGAAAUAGCAAUUUUAUAAAGAAAAGGAAUACAUGACCUGAAAAAUAAAAUACCACACCCUGCAGAUGAAUCUCUUAUUCCGAACCACAAAACGCAGCUCAUAUAGCAGUAAAAAAAGAAGUAGGACUUGGAGGGAUUGGGAUUUCGACUGUCCCCUCCAACAUGAGGAGUACCUUUUUCAUUGAAGGGCGGAGGGAUAGCUCAUCAAGAGUGCACCAAAGUCCCACUUUAACCAUCCUAUCUAACUGUUUCUUUUCGACGAUUUCAUCACCCACAAGUUUGUCCAUAUCACCGUCCAGAAAACAUUGGUAAACCCACUGUUCGAGAACAGCUUCAUCCUCUGGAAGACUCCAAUCCACAUUCUUUCGACAACAUGUGAUCUCCAACAACAUAACUCCAAAGCUAUAAACAUCUGCUUUAACUGUCACCGGCAUAUUCCGGUGCCAUUCUGGUGCUACAUAUCCCCUCGUCCCUCUGAUUCCCGUGAAGGUAUUAGUUUGGUCUGACUUCAGAAUUUUUGCCAAUCCAAAGUCAGAAACUUUGGGGCACCUGCUUUCAUCUAUUAGUAUAUUCUGAGGUUUUAUAUCACAGUGGAUGAUCUGAGUCUCGCACUCUUCAUGUAGAUAAACAAUACCCCUUGCAAUGUUGCGAGCAAUUUCCAACCUUUCAUGGAAGCAAGGUCGUUUUUCAAGUGAGAAGAGUAUGUCAGCGAGGGAGCCAUUGCUCAUGUACUCGUAUACCAGGAGCCUGUGAUGUUCAUCAUGGCAAUAGCCGAGCAGACGGGCUAGGUUUCUGUGAUGUGUUUUCCCAAUGACUUUCAUCUCAUUCUGAAAUUCUCUUUCCCCUUCAGCUAGAACUUUCUCCAGUCUCUUGACAGCAACAACCUUCUGAGUACUUGAUAUGAUCCCUUUAUAAACUGUCCCAAAUGAUCCCCUGCCAAUUUCUUCCUUGAAACCACCAGUAAUAUUUUCUAGCUCUGCAUAAGUGAAAGCUCGAGGAGCAAAUAACCAAGUAAUACAAUAAAUAUAGCAUAAUAGUUUAAGGAAGAUUGCAAGUAGAUCUAACGACAACAUUAAUAGUUGCAUAUGUGUGUGUGUGAAGAUUCAAAAAAACCUAAUUUAGAAAAUACAAAAAAAAAAACCAAGUAAUGAUAGAAAAAUAGAAAGAAAAGUAUUAAAUUCUGUUUAGAUUGUUCACCUAACAAUUUAAAUUUAUUUAAAUUCUAUAUAGAUAUUGUAUUGCGAUUGGUCACGUACCGGUUUGGAUCCAUUUAGAUUUUGAUUUGGUUACCUAACAAUUAAAAUCCAUUUCAAUUUUCAUGUAUUAUCUUUUUAUAUAUAUAUAUAUAAAUUUAUUGUACAAAUAUAAUGGAAAAUGAAUUAUAACUGUUGUAAUCCAUUUUUUAUCUCUAAUUUUUCACAUGUAUUUUCAAAAAUAGAACAAAUCUUCCAAAAUAUAUUUUCAAUGAAAUUCAAUUAUUAUUUAUUUAUUAUUAUUUUUGUGUGCGUGACAAUAUAGAAAAAUAAAAAUAAAAUAAAAUUAAGGAAAUGAAAUGAAAGGCAAGAAAAACUUCAGACCGGUAUGAUUGAUGACUAAAUAAUAUAUGGAAAAUCAAGAUGAGAUUGGAAAAUUUUUGCAAAAAAUCAAUAAGAAGAUGAAAUAAAAUUUUAUAAUAGUAGUUUUCCUGUUUUGAGAGUAUCCCACAAACAACAUAUAUAAACAUGAGAGAACACUACACACACAAGUACACAGAGAUAGAGAGAUUAAAAAAGACAAGUAUACUUUUGGGCUCGUUCUUGGAGCUUACAAGCAAGUUCCAUAUAGGAAAAACCUUGGUCAACAAGAAGAAAAAAUGGCAAAAAUUAGAUUGCUCUCUGCAAGCGUAAUUCAAGCCACUGCUAACAAGGUGACAAAUGAGAGGGCUGAGUUGACUCAAUGUGAUCUAAAGCUUCUUCCGCUAGGUGCUUCUCUUCCUCAAACCCAAAUCAUCAGAAGAUCAAGACUUGUUCAUCCAACAGUUGAAAACGUCACUUUCUCGGACUCUAGAUUUCUUCACCCCUCCCGUGUUGGAAGUUAAAACCGGUGUGGUAUGGGAUCAACACAGUAAUACAAGAUAAAAAAAACUCAAGAACAAAGCUAAACAACAAGAAAAAGAAGGAGAGGAAGCUUGUUAGCCACUGUAGAACAUGAUGAUAACACAGUCUCCAAUUUCAUUGACUGCAAAAAUGCAGGAGCCCAGUUUGUUCAUGGCGCCAUGGCCGAUGGGGUAACCAUGGCUGACAUCCUCCGGCCAGUUUAUGUUCCUCCAAUUGUCCACUCUUUCUUUCCAUUGAAAGGGGUCCUAAACCACGGGGCUACUGAUGUCUCCAAGCCAUUGCAUGCCUGCAGUUCAAGUCACUGAACUUGUUGGUGGCAUCUUUAAUGGCUGUACCAUGAACCAUAUAGUUGUUGAUGGCACAUCGUUUUGAAAUUUCUUCAACUCUUGGUCUGAAAUCCAUCGUGGGUUGGAUCACAUCUCCAAGCCUCCUGUUCUUGAACGUUGGUCACCUCCCAAUCGUAGCUGCAGCUGCCUGAUCCAAAAGCAAUAAGCCGUUGCCUGCAUGCUUGUACCUUUUUUUUCUCCAAAAAAAUGGGUGUAUAAGGGGUAGUUUUUCCAGGCGUAAGACACGUCAUCCAUUAGUGUAUUUCCCGGUUAUUUUCAGUCCUAUAAAUGCAAGGUUUGAUUUACUAUAUCCCUAAAGCUUGAUUUUUAAGUAAUAUUCACCUGAAAACAUCCAAACAAAACUCAAUAAAUCUUUUUUGAAUCCAAAAUUAUCCUCUAAUCAUUCUAAAAAUUAAAAAUCAAACCAAAUGAAAAAAACAUUACAAGCCUUAAAGGGUGUUUGAGAGUGUGGUAGCGGUUGCUUUUCAAAUAGCUUUUCGUGCCGAAAAGCAUGCCAAUAAUAUUUUUUUAUUUUUUAAAAAUCAUUUUUGACAUUAGCACAUCAAAACGAUCCAAAAAAUACAAACCGCACUCAAUUUUAGCAAAAAAUAAAAAUAAAUUUUUUUUGAAUUUUUUCAAAAAGCCGAUUUGGCCGCAAUGCCAAACAGGCAAUUAAUCAAUCUAUCUGUCUAUAUAUAUAUAAAACUGAAAUAUAUAUAAAAAUUGAAAAUUGAAGAUUGCACUAUAUAUAACUAAAGAGUGCAAUUUACAUUGAAGAGGGAAAGUUCUUGCUUUUUUUUUUUUAAUUAUUAUUAUUAAUGUUGAUGUUCGGAUUAGCUUACUCGUACCUCAAUUAAUUUAAAAUGUUCUAAAAUUAACGACCAUGUAAACUCUUCUAGUGAUUCUAAGAUUUAUAAAAUUCAAACCGAUGAUUUUUAAAAAACAAGUCUAGAGUCUAAUUAAUUAAACUAUACCUUUUAAAAUUAAGUUAUUAUUCUUUUAUUCAUAUUGAUUAUUGACAUUUAGCGAAGAUUUGUUUUUUAAAAAUUCAUGUUUGCAUGACUCUCUAAAAGACCCUACACAAGUUCGAUUUUUCUUUUCUUUCAAUUAGAUUUUUUUUUUCUGUUUUCACUUUAAUUAAAUAGAGUCAGGUUGAGCAUCAUAUAUAUUGCACGAUACUCAUCUUAAUGAAAAUAGGAUGAGACUUGGCUAUUAUUUUUUCUAUUAACAAGCUUUAAUAACGUAAUUAUAAUGUAUGUGAAUGAUUGAAUUAUAUUUAAUCGAAUUGUCUAAAUGCAAUGAAUAUAGCAUUAAACUGACUAAAUUCUUUUCAUAAGGGUUUAUUUACUUAUUUAACAAUAAUUUUUAAACUUAAUCCCACAAUUAAUUUGAAUAAGUUUUAGAUCACGAGUCUAUUUAUUUUUUAUUUUAUAAAUGAUAAAAAUAAUAUUAUUUAAAAAAAUAAUAAGUUUUAAUUAAGCUUUUUUUAGAUUGACCAGAUUAUUGGUCAAACCAAGUUUUUUAUCUAGUCAUAUUGAGCUAAGUCUUCUUUUAUUUUUAUUGAAAUUGACUUAAUUAGAUAUCAAAUCACAACUCAACCCUUUAGUCUGUUGAAGUUUUAAAUUAAUGGAUUUAACACAAAUACAAGGUUUGAAUGGGGCUUCUCCAAGGAAAACUCGAAUAAGAGAGCUAUGUUUAGAUGGUGUUUGUGUGUGAGUUUUAAUUAAUUAAUUUUAUUAAAAUUUGAAUUUUUUUAAUUAUUAUUUUAGUAUUUUUUGAUUGUUUUAAUAUGGUGAUAUUAAAAAUAAAUUUUAAAAAAGAAAAAAAUAUAUAUUUUUAAUAUUUUUCAAAUACAAAAUAUUUAAAAAAAAUUAUUGAUAGACUGUUAAAUACUCUUUCAAAUAAAAAAUAUUUUUAAAAAAUAUAUUAAAAGCCCCCUUUAAGCUUACCAAAACCUCAGAGCAAAAAACAAGAAAGGAAAAGAGUAAAACAAAAUGGCUCCAGCCAAGAAAGGAAAACCGAAGGCAAACUCGGCCGUGUCAACUCAGUCAAAACCCACAGCCCCAAGUCCCCAAAACAAUUUCCCAUCUUGCAUACGUGCAGUCCCUCCUUCCUCCGUCGCCAUCACCAUCCACGCCAAACCCGGUUCCAAAUCCGCCUCCAUCACUGGUGGGUCUAUACACACGUGCAAAAGGACUGUUUUGAUUCUUGUUUAGGUUAAAAAAUUAAAGCUUCAAUGUGUUUUUUUCUUCCUGAUAUUGUAUGUAGAUUUGAGUGAUGAAGCGGUGGGAGUACAAAUAGAUGCACCUGCUAAAGAUGGUGAAGCUAAUGCUGCACUUCUUGAUUACAUUAGCUCUGUAAGUCUUUUUUUUUUCCCUUACGUUAUAAGUUGGUUAUUCGUUUUUAAUGUUUUGUGAUAGAGAAUUAUUGGCUUAAUUUUCGAGAAUUUUACAGGCAUGUGUGAUGUUAAUCAAUGCCUGUCAAAUUUUUUGAUGUUUCGGUACUACGCAUAUGGAGAGAAAUAUUUUGAGUUGGUACAGUUUUGGCUGAAUUUUCUAGAGGAAAGGAGAUUUGUAGCAUGAGGUCGGGAGACGAAAGUGGCUUUUUUUUUUUUUGGAGAGAAACGGUAGAACGGAUUCUUACGGUUCAUCAAAUUUUACAGGCAUGUGUGAUGUUAAUCAUUGCCUGUCAAUUUUUUUGAUGUUUUGGUACUACGCAUAUGGAGAGAAAUAUUUUGAGUUGGUACAGUUUUGGCUGAAUUUUCUAGAGGAAAGGAGACUUGUAGUAUGAGGGCGGGGGAUGAAAGUGGCCUUUUUUAUAUUUUUUUGGAGAGAAAUGGUAGAACAGAUUCUUACAGUUCAUGAAUUAAUUAGAGAGGGUUUUAUUUUGUCUUUGGGCUUGCAUGCAAAAGGAAUGGUGAAUCUAUAGUCCUUAUAUUUAGCCUAUCAGUAUUUUGAUGAUGGAUUUGCUGGAUUCUAGACAUGCGCAAUGAGUUAGAAAACAGCAUCAAUGUGCUUAAUGUAGAGUAUUUGGAAGCAGUCAAAUAUUGAUGCUUUUUUUGGGAUCAUGGCUCGUGUCCUUGAGAUUAUUUUGAAAGAGGGUUAUGCUGGCACUUUGUUAACUUCUAUUGGGAGUUUUUAUUAUGAUAGUGUAUCUGGCAUUUUCCUAUUUCAUCAAGUUGGUGUAAGUAUUUGAUGCAAGUUGAGGAUUGAGUUAAUUUUGAACGCAUAUGGUAAUAAUAAUUUUUUUACUGACCUUUUGAAACCAUGAAUUGCUAGGAAGAGUUUGAAAUUGAAAGAGGAUGAAAGAGUAAAUGCAUUAAGAGAGAGGAUGCGAUUUCAUGAGUGAUAUAAUCAACUGGGAUCCCUGGCUUAGCCCAAUAGUAGAUGAAAAGCUUCUCUCUUCCAUAGGAUAAGUGUGAUUUAGAGCAUUUAAUCUUCUGAAAAAAUAAUAAUGAGGUGUUUACUGUUCAAUCACAACUGUAAACAUGGUUGAAUAACUGAAGAGAGUUAUUUAUGAAAAUUAACAAAUUCUUGUCGUGAUAUCUUGCAUUUAGAUAGAGAACCUCCUCUGUUUUAGUACAGAAAAGGUUCACAAGUAUGGUUCUCUCAACCAACAGGUGUUGGGGGUGAAGCGGAGGCAGGUAUCCAUAGGCUCUGGUUCUAAAUCGAGAGACAAGGUGGUGAUUGUGGAGGAGGUAACUCUACAAAAUGUUUUUGAUGCUUUGGAGAAAGUGUCCAAAUGCUGCUAAUUUAAAAAGAAGAAGAGAGGUUCAGUGUGCUUUCGUUAACAAGAGAUAUGAUUUACAUGAUCUUAUACUGAACACAAGGUAUUUGGAUAGGACAACAUUCCUAGUCCACGCUGAUGUUUAAAAUAGUUUGGUCUGUAGUUUUGUUUCUUCUAUCUCACACUGAAACAAUAAUCUUUUUAUUUAAAACUGUAAGUACAGAAGCUGUAGUGUUACUUAUGAAUAUAAUGACUGAUGUUCCAUGAAUAUUCAAGUUAGAUGCUAAUUUAUUCAUCUUCACCAUGGUUCUUCUAGUUCUCAUUUUUCUUUAUGAUUUCUUCCCCCUUUUUUCUUAUGAAUUUCACUAAGAGAUCAUUAUAGCUAUACUUUUGCACGACAGGCUUGCUAAUACCUAGCGACAUGCUGUGAAAACCAUCUUAUUUUGUCCUCCAGCUUUUGAUUCUUCUGGCUGUUUUGCCAUUAAUAAUGCUAGAUUUAAGGUUUAGGUCCGCUGUUGUUAUUACCUGAUUUUUGUGUAAUUCGCCUAUAAAUGAAAUUACUCUCUAGUGAUAAAAGGAAUGGAGUGCAGAUAUUGUGUCAUGAACAAAAGGCUAGUAUUUGUUUAUUGCAGGAGCAAGAGAAGUCUCGGCUCAUACUUGGCCAGGAAAACAUUUAUCUUUUUCACACUGUAUAAGCAUUUUGUCAUGAGGGUAAUCUUAUUGAUUAAGAAUCAUCUAUCAGAAGUGGAGUAUCCUCAAUACAAGUUGUUGCAACUCUGAAGAACAUAUUGCUAGUAUUUGUUGAGACUUGAGAAUAGCAUUACCCAUCUAGAAACCUGGCCAAAAUUAUAGGCUUCAGUUUUCCAGCCAUAAUCCCGACACAUGAGAUAAGGUGGGUAACAACUUUACAGGCAUUAACAUUAGAGGAAAAAUCAACAGGAAGCUCCCAAAUGCUGCGUAAACAUAAAGGAACUCAGUACGAAAUAGCAAUUUUAUAAAGAAAAGGAAUACAUGACCUGAAAAAUAAAAUACCACACUCUGCAGAUGAAUCUCUUAUUCCGAACCACAAAACGCAGCUCAUAUAGCAGUAAAAAAAGAAGUAGGACUUGGAGGGAUUGGGAUUUCGACUGUCCCCUCCAACAUGAGGAGGACCUUUUUCAUUGAAGGGCGGAGGGAUGGCUCAUCAAGAGUGCACCAAAGUCCCACUUUAACCAUCCUAUCUAACUGUUUCUUUUCGACGAUUUCAUCACCCACAAGUUUGUCCAUAUCACCGUCCUGAAAACAUUGGUAAACCCAUUGUUCGAGAACAGCUUCAUCCUCUGGAAGACUCGAAUCGACAUUCUUUCGACAACAUGUGAUCUCCAACAACAUAACUCCAAAGCUGUAAACAUCUGCUUUAACUGUCACCGGCAUAUUCCGGUGCCAUUCUGGUGCUACAUAUCCCCUAGUCCCUCUUAUUCCGGUGAAGGUUUUAGUUUGGUCUGACUUCAGCAACUUUGCCAAUCCAAAGUCAGAAACUUUGGGGCACCUGCUUUCAUCUAUUAGUAUAUUCUGAGGUUUUAUAUCACAGUGGAUGAUCUGAGUGUCGCACUCUUCAUGUAGAUAAACAAUACCCCUUGCAAUGUUGCGAGCAAUUUCCAACCUUUCAGGGAAGCAAGGUCGUUUUUCAAGUGAGAAGAGUAUGUCAGCGAGGGAGCCAUUGCUCAUGUACUCGUAUACCAGGAGCCUGUGAUGUUCAUCGUGGCAAUAGCCGAGCAGACGGACUAGGUUUCUGUGAUGUGUUUUCCCAAUGACUUUCAUCUCAUUCUGAAAUUCUCUUUCCCCUUCAGCUAGAACUUUCUCCAGUCUCUUUACAGCAACAACCUUCUGAGUACUUGAUAUGAUCCCUUUAUAAACUGUCCCAAAUGAUCCGCUGCCAAUUUCUUCCUUGAAACCACCAGUAAUAUUUUCUAGCUCUGCAUAAGUGAAAGCUCGAGGAGCAAAUACCUCAUUCAAUGCAGUGCCAUCAUUAUUGGGCACCCUUUUAUAUGCCAAUACAUGAUAUCUGUAAACGAUGAUUCCGAAAAUCGACACCAUAGCAAGCCCAAAAACAACAAAUGAACCACUUAUUAUUCGGAUAGUCCUGCCACUGCCAAGGUUCUUCUCGGUUAUAGGCUCUUUUCUGUCCAUGGGUCUACCCACCUUGACGACAGCCAAGUUCGAACUGUCCAAGUUUCUCCUCCCAUAUCUCAAAGGAAACCUUUGCUUUCUGCAGUACUGCCCAUCAGUGAAUAAUGCUGCUUCACAGUUACAGUCUUCCAAACAGGCUUGCUUACAAUUGUCUUUCGUUGUUGAUGACAAAACGGAGUAUGAAACAUCUUCCCAGACAAUAUUAGACAGCUCUUCCAUGGUGUAUGUGCUACUUCCAUUCUUGUCCCUUGCAACUUACAGCAUCGAAAUCCCUCUCACAGCCAGAAGUCCAAUUUCCCUGGGUAACAAACUUAAAUCCAGGAAGACAAAUACAUUCAGCUUCCUGAUCCUUCAUAACACAAUAUCCAUUAAGACCACAUGAUCCUUUCGGGUCGCACUUGUUGCUUGUGGAUGACCACACAUCUGACCAGUUUCCAUUCCGUAUCAGAUUUCGUGAAUAUAAUCUGAAAAUCCCAUCAGCAUCAAGUUUCAUAAUAUUAAUUGUUUCUUUCGUGGGAUAUCCUCCAGCUGUAAUGUUUUUUAUGUUGAAUCCUGUGGAAUUGAGCAGGUAGAGACGGCCAUCCGGAUCAAGAUUUAGGGUCACAUCAUCUCCCUUCCCAUCAGUAAAAGAUGAAAAAUAAGAAUAUGGAGCUGUAUCUGGAGUAUUAACAGGAUACUGCACAAGGUUGCCAUCAUUUUGCAUCUUGAGUCGGUAAAUACCAGUUGAGAGGUCAGUUUCUGAAACAGGAGAAAACAGCUCUGCACCCGCUUUGAGCUGUUGAGUUGGCAAAAGGGUAUCUGUUGGGUGCUCAAAACUCUGCCAUAUAAUCUGGCGAUCAGAAUUAUAUAGCACAAAGUUGCCUGAAUCAGACAUAGAAGCUAAAGAAGCUGGCUGGGAAGCAGAAACUAUCGCAGUCUCACCCCCUUGUGCUGAUGUCAAGACAACCCUGCCAUCACUGGUGAAGUUCAAGGUCGCAUUACUGGGGACUGGGGCAUCAUCCCUUCUAGCAGCCCACACAACAUUCUGUAGUGAAAUCCCGGAUAGAAAAACCCCUAUAGAAUAGCCAUCGCGUUGUCGGAAAAAUCCGAAAGAAUAAAGACCGGAAGGUGACAACCAUGAGGAGUUUGUGAUAGGUGUUAGAGAAGAUCCCAGGGUUAUAUUGGUCUGUCUUUGAGCUGAAGCUGUAAAAGAUAAGGCGAGAAGAAGAAAAAAGAUGAUAGAAGCCAUGGAUAGGGAUUUAGCUCUUGUGUGGUAUGGAGUGUCAAUUUAAGGAUGUCUAUUGUUCCAGCACUCCAGUCUCUUUCUUUGGUUUCCAGCAGUCAAGCCAGGCACUCAAACAUAAAAGUCUAGCCAUAGAAUCCACCGCGUUUCCCUACCAAUUGGUGGAAAUUGUUGCUCUUACUUUUAUGCUUUCAAAGUCAAUGCAGUCAAGUCACCGAAAAAUCUUGGCAAUUACUUGGCUCUGGUCCACUUUUUCCAUCUUUUGUAUCCCCCAUUUGAACAGCCAUUUGCUAAUUUCCCCGUGACUAUUCUUGGUUCUAAUUUUCUGCAGCAGAUUCUUUUUAUUUGCCAAGUACCAUUCAAUACGCUUUGAAGACACGAUCUUUAGCUUCCUGCAGACAGCUUCAACUAGUUAAGAAACAUCGAUUGUGGUGCCAAUGGUAAUACCCUGGCAUUAUACUAGGGCAAGACAGAACAACUUGCUAGCUUAUAGAAAUGUCCCUCAAAUGCUAAAGCCUAGCUAGCAACCUCAGUUUCUAACGAAAGAGCAUCUCUACAUGUUGCGUAACUAACAAUCCCUUGAAUAUUAAAACUGAAAAGUGGAACUCAUUGGACCGUUGAUUUUAUGAUCAAUUCCACCGUACGACUUAAUUCAGAGUACAAUUGAGGUGGUCACGGCAAGGACUGAGUCAAGGGACAACCUAGCAUUUGCUGACCUGCUCUUCUCAGCAAAAGCUUCUUCUCUCACCAGCUUCAUGCCAUGGUUGCUGAUUGGAGGGGCUUUAUAAUUUAUUUAUUACAAAUGUGCUAUGAAAAAGAAAAAAAAUGCUAUGAUAUUAAAAAAAAAAAAAGAAUUUCCUCGUAGCUAUGAUAUUUGUGAUAUUAAUUAUGUUACACUUGUGAUCAUGUUGAUGAGAAUAAUAAUAAAUUCAUAUCGUUUUAGUAAUGUUUAUGUUAGCAAGUAAUGCUACUGAAGGUAAAGAAGCUGUGACGAAGAUGAUGGUGAUGUAAUGGUAAUGACGAUUAAAGUGAUUCAAAAAUAUUUUUCUUUUGAUAAUUUAUUAGUGUAUAUAUUUCAAAUGUUUAAGAUAUUUUUCAAAUAAAUGUACCUUAACUAUGAUAAAUGAUAUAUUCUCCGUUUGUUUGCAAUUUGAUUGUAAAGGCUUCCUUUUAACAUAAUUCUGCUUGAUAUACUCCAUGUAAUUACAAACUAAUUAGCUCAUUUUGGUCUUCUCACUUCUGGCAAUUAGUCAGUUUGAUGGCAACGUGCAACAAUGUACGGUCACCAACUGUUGUAUUGGACUUCGAUUCACCAAUAAUGCCCUGCAACUGAGUUUGAGCGUAGGAAUGGACAUUUGCAUUUUAGGCAAGGAAUUGCCUUGUAGAAUAGAAGAAGAAGAAGAAGAAGAAGGGGAAAAAACAAGCAAAGAUCAUAGUCUCAUUAAUUCUAUUCUUCGUAAAGAGCUCACUCUUGAGAUAACAUAAGAUCAACAAACGUUGUUUGUACUAAGAACACGUGAAGCUUUCAUGCUAACAUUUUCUUUUCUCCUCUUUAUAAAACUUUUUUUUUAAUAUAUAAGAUACGAUGGGAAACAACUUUACAGGCAUUAACAUUAGAAGAAAAAUCAACAGGAAGCUCCCAAAUGCUGCGUAAACAUAUAGCAAUUUUAUAAAGAAAAGGAAUACAUGACCCGAAAAAUAAAAUACAACACUCUGCAGAUGAAUCUCUUAUUCGGAACCACAAAACGCAGCUCAUAUAGCAGUAAAAAAAGAAGUAGGACUUGGAGGGAUUGGGAUUUCGACUGUCCCCUCCAACAUGAGGAGGACCUUUUUCAUUGAAGGGCGGAGGGAUGGCUCAUCAAGAGUGCACCAAAUUCCCACUUUAACCAUCCUAUCUAGCUGUUUCUUUUCGGCGACUUCUUCGCCCACAAGCUUGUCCAUAUCACCGUCCUGAAAACAUUGGUAAACCCACUGUUCGAGAACAGCUUCAUCUUCUGGAAGACUCCAAUCCACAUUCUUUCGACAACAUGUUAUCUCCAACAACAUAACUCCAAAGCUGUAAACAUCUGCUUUAACUGUCACCGGCAUAUUCCGGUGCCAUUCUGGUGCUACAUAUCCCCUCGUCCCUCUGAUUCCGGUGAAGGUUUUAGUUUGGUCUGACUUCAGCAACUUUGCCAAUCCAAAGUCAGAAACUUUGGGGCACCUGCUUUCAUCUAUUAGUAUAUUCUGAGGUUUUAUAUCACAGUGGAUGAUCUGAGUGUCGCACUCUUCAUGUAGAUAAACAAUACCCCUUGCAAUGUUGCGAGCAAUUUCCAACCUUUCAGGGAAGCAAGGUCGUUUUUCAAGUGAGAAGAGUAUGUCAGCGAGGGAGCCAUUGCUCAUGUACUCGUAUACCAGGAGCCUGUGAUGUUCAUCAUGGCAAUAGCCGAGCAGACGGACUAGGUUUCUGUGAUGUGUUUUCCCAAUGACUUUCAUCUCAUUCUGAAAUUCUCUUUCCCCUUCAGCUAGAACUUUCUCCAGUCUCUUUACAGCAACAACCUUCCGAGUACUUGAUAUUAUCCCUUUAUAAACUGUCCCAAAUGAUCCCCUGCCAAUUUCUUCCUUGAAACCACCAGUAAUAUUUUCUAGCUCUGCAUAAGUGAAAGCUCGAGGAGCAAAUUCCUCAUUCAUUCCCGUACUAUCAUUACUGGGCACCUGUUUAUAUGCCAAUACAUGAUAUCUGUAAACGAUUAUUCCGAAAAUCACCACCAUAGCAAGCCCAAAAGCAACAAAUGAACCACUUAUUAUUAGGAUAGUCCUGCCAGUGCCAGGGUUCUUCUUCUCGGUUAUAGGCUCUUUUCUGUCCAUGGUGGAUAUGGGUCUGCCCACCUUGACGACAGCCAAGUUCGUACUUCCUAAGUUUCUCCUCCCAAAUCUCAAAGGAAGCCUUUGCUUUCUGCAAUACUGCCCAUCAGUGAAUAAUGCUGCUUCACAGUUACAGUCUUCCAAACAGGCUUGCUUACAAUUGUCUUUAGUUGUUGAUGACAAAACGGAGUAUGAAACAUCUUCCCACUCAGUACUAGACAGCUCUUCCAUGGUGUAUGUGCUACUUCCAUUCUUGUCGUUGCAACUUUCAGCAUUGAAAUCCCUCUCACAGCCAGAAGUCCAAUUUCCCUGGGUAACAAACUCAAAUCCAGGAAGACAAGUACAUUCAGCUUCCUUACCCUCCAUAACACAAUAUCCAUUAAGACCACAUGAUCCUUUCGGGUCACACUUGUUGCUUGUGGAAGACCACACAGCUGACCAGUUUCCAUUCCGUGUCAGAUUUCGUGAAUAUAAUCUGAGAAUCCCGUCAGCAUCAAGUUUCAUCAUCUUAAUUGUUUCUUUCGUGGGAUAUCCUACAGCUGUAAAGUUUCUUAUGUUGAAACCUGUGGAAUUGAGCAG
This 46567-nucleotide long non-coding RNA is filed under the name Populus tremula. Its description in RNAcentral is "long non-coding RNA (PTRE_LNC003386)". Lineage: Eukaryota; Viridiplantae; Streptophyta; Magnoliopsida; Malpighiales; Salicaceae. The record is from RNAcentral.